RNAcentral lists this long non-coding RNA (64263 nucleotides) under Brassica napus (rape). Its description in RNAcentral is "long non-coding RNA (BNAP_LNC024367)". Lineage: Eukaryota; Viridiplantae; Streptophyta; Magnoliopsida; Brassicales; Brassicaceae. The record is from RNAcentral.
AUAUUUCUGCACGGCCCGAUCAAUAGUUCAAGUCACACACUCCCAUAAUCCAUUUUCUCUUCAUAGAAUUCCCUUCAACUUUUUAUGUCAAAAAAAUAAUACAAUAUUGUGGAGUUGAAGGGAAAUAUCCAAAUACAUGUCUUAUUUUUUUAAUAAUCCAUAUUUAUAGCAAUAAAAUACGAUUGUUCCUUCACCAAGUAAUAAGAUAAAUUAGUAAUUAAAAAUAUCUAGAAUCUAUAUUAUUUAUAAGGGACCAGAAAUACCUUGCUUACGUAUCAUUAAGAAAUGCAUUAACAUAAAUACAGCCGUAAGAAGAGGUAAUACAAAAGUGUGUAAACUAUAAAAACGAGUCAAAGUGGAUUGUCCAACACUAGCACUUCCGCGUAAUAAUUCUACAAGAGGCGAUCCUAUUACCGGAAUAGCGUCAGGUACACCUGUUACAAUUUUGACUGCCCAAUAGCCAAUUUGAUCCCAAGGUAAAGAAUAACCUGUUACACCAAAAGAUGCGGUCAAUACACCCAGAACCACACCAGUAACCCAAGUUAAUUCGCGAGGUUUUUUAAAACCACCGGUGAGGUAUACACGAAAUACGUGCAGGAUCAUCAUUAGGACCAUCAUACUUGCCGACCAUCGAUGAACUGAUCGGAUUAACCAACCAAAGUUAGCUUCAGUCAUUAUAUAUUGAACAGAAGCAAAAGCCUCAGUAACAGUUGGACGGUAAUAAAAAGUCAUAGCAAAUCCCGUAGCUACUUGUACUAAAAAACAAGUAAGGGUAAUUCCUCCUAGACAAUAAAAUAUGUUGACAUGCGGAGGAACAUAUUUACUAGUUAUAUCGUCUGCAAUCGCUUGAAUCUCAAGACGUUCUUCGAACCAAUCAUAAACUUUAUUGAGAUAGGUAAACCAAGGUUCCUCCCCCUCCAAGAACUGUAUAUGAGAAUUUCAUCUCGUACAGCUCAAACAAAAAAAAGACCCAAAUACUGAUUGAAACGGAUAUGGAAUAUAAAGUUUUAAACUUCUCUCUCAUUCAAUAUUAUUUAAGAGUCAAAAUGCGAAAGCUCUUCUUUGUGGUUAAAUGCCAAAAACUCAAGUCAGCUCAUACGUCUUUAUGUUGUGUUGAUCGUUACAGGCCUCUUGAAUCUUCUAGAUUACCUACCGUUAUUGUCUUUUUUAGUUGGUAUUUGUAUGGAAUGGGAAUACGGAUUUCUUCUUGUUUUCUUUAUUAUUGAUAGGAAUUUUCUUGUUAAGACCCUACUUAUUAAUUGAAACCUCAGAUUCAUACGAAAACCACGAUAAUUCAAUGAAACCUUCAAAGUCCAAAGUUCACAAUAUAUAUAUAUUUAUUUAUUUUUAUUACAAAAUAUAUAAAAUAUAUAUUACUGAUUAAAUUUUAAAAAUAUUUUAAACAUUAUCUGCAUAUAAAUUUUAGAUAGUAAACACAAUUUUUUUGCCCUAAAACUCCUAAUAGUGUUGAGAAGGUCCUCCUCUCUAGUCUCUAAGACCACCUCCAUCGGAAGUUUUACGAAGGAGUUCUAAUAAAAAAAGACAAAAAAAAAAAUAAAAAAAAGCUAAAAACAGAGAACCUGUGGUUAAUAUGUUUUUUUUAGAAUUGGUUAGAACCCAUACGUGUCACUUUAGUAUUGGGUAAUAAAUUUUCCCCUGUCUCUCUCUUCGGGAAUCUCUUUGUUGAUGUUUUUCACGAAAUCAAUUAACAGUUGAUUUUUCAGAAGGAAGAAGCUCGAGAGAUGGAGGAUGCCGUUCUAUUGAAGCCGACGCAUAGGCUCAAGUAUCAUUUUCUCCUCAGCUUCUGCCAUGUCCGGAGAAGAAGAAGAGAACGCCGUCGAACUCAAGAUUGGAGAUGGUAACCUCUCUGUUAUUCCCGUCUUUGUAUCCCCAGCUACUGUAUUGCAAAAUUAAGGUUUUUUAUUUUUUUCUUUUCAUUCGAAUUGGUCUUAGUCCAUUACGAUUCUUUUCGAUUGAUCUUACACUUUUUCAAAAUCUGUACUCAAUUUUACACUGAAAUUUAUGGGCUUGAUUCCUUUGUUGGCAAUCAGAGUUUUUGAAGGCAAAGUGCUUAAUGAACUGUGAAGUGUCUUUGAUAUUUGAGCACAAGUAUGAACAUCUUCAGCAAGUCUCCGAGGAUCCUAUGAAUCAAGUUUCUCAGUUAAGUCUUUUUAAAAAGUUUUGUGCUUUGUAGAGAUUCACUGCCAAUUAGCAAUCAAUAAAUUCAAGAGCCUUCGGUCUUGUAGACUAAAGAAUUGAAGAAUGUACGGAGAUUUUUUAUAUAUGUCUGCACUGAUGCAUAUUACUUUUAGAUGCACGCUAUUUUGUACUAGUAGUGUUUAUGCCAGUUUCAUUAUCCUGAGGAAAGAAAAUAGUACUUUAUUGGUGAUUGAAUUUUGUUUACUCUUUGCAGAGUGUUUGAAAAGUCCUUGCAAUAUGUGAAGCGAUUUAGUCGGUACAAGAAUCCAGAUGUUGUUCAACAAGUUCGAGAGUAUCCUCUUUCUGUAUGAUUAGUUUAUUCAGUAGACCUAGUAUUACAAGAAUGCAUUGAUUAUGCUUUUAUUAGCACUUAACCCAUGAAUGAGAGAGUUUAAUGUCAUUGGUUCAGUUCUUUAGUUUUGUGAGAGUAUAUAUGCCGUAUGAUUUUGACAGAAUCUUGAGCAGGCAUCAGCUCACUGAGUUUGAGGUAAGAUGUUCAAACCUUUUGAGAUUGGAUUUUUUUGGUCAUCAGCUAAGUUUUUUAGACAGAAGGUUUUAAACCAUUGUGGUGGUCAUUAUUGAACAGCUCUGUGUUCUUUGCAAUCUCUGUCCUAAAACUGCUGAAGAAGCAGUGGCAAUGGUUCCUUCUCUCAAGGUAAAAAGAAAAAAAAUCAUUCUACUUUCUCUAUUCCUAGAAAGAACAAAUAGCCUUGUUAUGUCUGUGGACUUUUGCGAUGAUGUAAGCUUCUGUUUUGUGUAGACAAAAGGAAGAGCUCAUAGUGAUGAAGUGAUCGAGAAGAUGCUUAAUGAUCUCUCCCUUGUCAAGAGAUUCGAGUAGUUGCGGAAAGUUCUCAAGAUAUAAGAUUAUAAACAUAUUUCAGGGGACUACAUUUUCCUUAUAGCUGUUGAUGUCUGAGAGUUAGUUUUUCAUGUCUAAAAUUAUAAAACUUUCAUGCUCAGAAUCUCUGUAAUGACAUCUUUUUAAUAUGUUUUAUGUCAUAUUUAUUUAAAUUUUUACGAAAUCCAAUCAUUCAAUUUCUAAAAAAAAAAAAAAAAUUUAAGAACCUCAAAGAGGUUUUCCCAUUGGAUCAUGACAAAUUUAAUUACAUUAAUAAAAGUUCUAAACUUUACAAAUUACAAAAUUAAUUACUAAACUAAUCAUUAGAACCCAUCAUGAGCUCUAACCAUUGGACAUGCUCUAAUAUUCCAAGGUUGUCUCUUCAAUAAAGUAUAAACAACAAUGUUUUUGGUAGUACUAUUACACUAACUGCUCUCUCUCAGUGUGUGUUUACAGUGUUAAUGGUCCAUAUUCUUUUUUUUUUUUUUUUGUAACUUAAUGGUCCAUAUUCUGCGACCUCAGUUUGGUAAAAAAAAUUCUGAUAUCUGACAGCCACCAGCAAUGGCUGUUAAUUUAUCGUACCGUUUUUAGCUUUUCUGUGAUUAGUACUACAAUAUUAAAAACCACACAUUAAUUUUGUUAACAUCUGAUUUAGACUACAUGGUGGUUUUCUUGCUCAGACUCCAUUCUGCUUUAUGCCGUUUGUUCUAGGUGUAACCUAUAUCUUUUAUCUCUUGUGAGGUCCUUGCUGAGUAUUCUUAUUUUGUCACGUUUUUAAUUUCGCCUGAUCAUUAUCACAGCCUACUCAUCUCACUAAAAGUUUGAUAACGAAACAAGAAAGGUCUUCUUGUUCUGGAGGGCUAGAUUAUUUAAUUUACAUUAUUUAGCAUUAACCAUUAUGGUAAUCACUAUUACACAAACAAGUUAGUGGCACAUAUCAUGUUUUUUUAAUAAUCUUUUGAGAUUAAGGAUUUUUAAGAGUUGACCAAGUUGAUUUGCUGCCCUCACUUAAGUGUUUUGCCUUCUCAGCUUCCUUAUCUUUGUAAUUUGAGUUGUUUUUAAUUUCAUUCACUCACGUGAGUCUAACAUCUUCUUUUGGGAAGCUUAAAGAAUGAAGAAAGCAACAUAUCAUAAUGUUAUUAAACUGCACAGUUGAAAUGAUAACUCUGUUCUCAAUAUUGAACUACAGGUAAGCUGCCAUUGGCAGUACAUACAUAUCAAGCUUUACAACAUAACUUCACCUAAGCCUAGUUGACUUGUGUUCAGAAACCAUGUAUAAAUCUUUCAGGUCCUAGUGGUGCUAUAUGCACGCUAAAGCUUCCCUGUGGUGGUUGAUUAGAUGAUGAGGUCGUCUCACUGCAGCCAGCUAUCUUUUGGCAAGUCUGAAUGAGACAGUCCCUGCAAGUGGGACAAGAUGAGUGUGAACUCAGCCAUUUGUCUAUACACCGGACAUGGAACCCGUGGUGACACUUUGGCAGAAGCCUGACUCGCUCUCCGGCCACAAACUCCGAGAGACAUAUGACACACUCUGUAUCAAGACAAGGCAGAUUCAUCUCUUUAGAGUAACUUACCGUCUGGAAACUCUUCAAGGCUUUUCGUUUGACCCCUGUGUUGGCCAUGCGAACUGUAAGCUCCUCACUAGCUUCGGAUGAGUACCUCAACAGACAUCUAAUGAUAGAAUGCAGUCCAAGUGAGCAAACUAGUGCACACAAGAGGACUGAUAAGACCAUAACAACAUUUGCAUCAAAGCUCAUUUGGUGUGCAUGAGAGUGUGAUGCUUCAUGAGCGUCUCCAAAUGGAGGAGAUGCCAUGGUAGGUGGUUGAUAAGCUGUGUUAAGUAGUAGCCUUCUUGAGUAAAAGUUCUCAAGAAAAUCUUCAUAGAUAAUGGGAGCAAAUGUUUCAGCCCACAUGAUUAAACCUAGUUUGAAGAGUUAGAUAGAUAGAUAUAGAUCUUCUAGGUUUUAUUGCAAGUUCUAUAUAUAGUGAAAAGGUAAAGGUUUCAUAUAUUCUGAUACAUUAAUGGGAAAUAGUUUUAAUCGAAUUUUCUUAAUUAUGGUUGGUGGAAUAUGCUGGGAAAUUAGCAAGGUACUUUAGUGAUUUUAGUUUUUAUUUUAGAUAUUAGUCUGCAUCUAGUAUGGAUUCUCCACUGAAUUUGAAUAAUAUUAGUGUGUUUUCUUAUUGAAAAUGGGCCCUUCAUACCAUUUACUGCAAUACUAGUGCCAUGUGGCAGCAAUAUUAGCAAAUCAAAUCCCCAAGAGUUGCUCACAGGGGACCCAUGAGCUUUUGCUGAAGCAGCCAUGAACUUUCCCUAAGAUAAUACAACUCUUGGGUCUUAGCACAUGUCACUGACUUCUCUCUGUUCCUUCAUAGAUAUUAGGGCUUGAUGUUUGAUGCAAACUAAUGAUAUCCAUCUAUACUGAUUAUCUUUGAUUAAUGAUGUAUUAACUAGGGGUAGAUAUUUAUGUAUUUGAUGCUGCAGAGCAGGGGGAAUCUAUCCUUUGGCACAAGUCCCACUCUGAAAAUUACAUAAAGACUAUAAGAUUAUCUGAAAAUGAUUUGUCUUUUCUUUUGUUUGUGCCACUAGGUUCCAUAUAGCUGGUAAGAACAGGUAGUGGUUUGUUUUUUAUCUCUUAUCUGAAAGUGAUUUAACUUUGCCUUUUUAUUUAUUUGUGUUGCUUGGAAUACCAUGUGAUACUCGUGCGUCCUUUGGUUGACAUUCUUGAUUUGGUAGUCUUCCUUGGAACACCAACCUUAAGAAUAUUUCUGGAUGCAUUUGGUUUCGAAAUGGUUUGGCCUCGUUCAAUGUCAAUUGAAGAGUCAUGUAACUAGAUUCAGGAGCACUCUAAUUAAAUCUCUUCUUGUGCUAGAUUGUGCAUUUCCACUACAAGAAACCAGCGGUAUUCUGACGGACAUUUCGACGGAAAAUGAAAUCUUCGGAAUAUCCCGAGGAAUUUCCGAGGAAAUUCCAAGGAAACACAAAAUUUGGUUUCCUCGGAAUUUCCUCGGAAUAUACCGACGGAAUUCCGAGGAAAUAUCAAUCCGUCGGAAUAUUCCGAGGAAAUUCCGAAGAAAAAUGUGUUCCUCGGAAAAAACCGAUGAAUUCCGAGGAAAUAUUAUAGCCGUUGGAGAGCCGUUGGGGGAUUUUACAAAAUUCCGAGGAAAUUCCGACGAACUAGCNNNNNNNNNNNNNNNNNNNNNNNNNNNNNNNNNNNNNNNNNNNNNNNNNNNNNNNNNNNNNNNNNNNNNNNNNNNNNNNNNNNNNNNNNNNNNNNNNNNNNNNNNNNNNNNNNNNNNNNNNNNNNNNNNNNNNNNNNNNNNNNNNNNNNNNNNNNNNNNNNNNNNNNNNNNNNNNNNNNNNNNNNNNNNNNNNNNNNNNNNNNNNNNNNNNNNNNNNNNNNNNNNNNNNNNNNNNNNNNNNNNNNNNNNNNNNNNNNNNNNNNNNNNNNNNNNNNNNNNNNNNNNNNNNNNNNNNNNNNNNNNNNNNNNNNNNNNNNNNNNNNNNNNNNNNNNNNNNNNNNNNNNNNNNNNNNNNNNNNNNNNNNNNNNNNNNNNNNNNNNNNNNNNNNNNNNNNNNNNNNNNNNNNNNNNNNNNNNNNNNNNNNNNNNNNNNNNNNNNNNNNNNNNNNNNNNNNNNNNNNNNNNNNNNNNNNNNNNNNNNNNNNNNNNNNNNNNNNNNNNNNNNNNNNNNNNNNNNNNNNNNNNNNNNNNNNNNNNNNNNNNNNNNNNNNNNNNNNNNNNNNNNNNNNNNNNNNNNNNNNNNNNNNNNNNNNNNNNNNNNNNNNNNNNNNNNNNNNNNNNNNNNNNNNNNNNNNNNNNNNNNNNNNNNNNNNNNNNNNNNNNNNNNNNNNNNNNNNNNNNNNNNNNNNNNNNNNNNNNNNNNNNNNNNNNNNNNNNNNNNNNNNNNNNNNNNNNNNNNNNNNNNNNNNNNNNNNNNNNNNNNNNNNNNNNNNNNNNNNNNNNNNNNNNNNNNNNNNNNNNNNNNNNNNNNNNNNNNNNNNNNNNNNNNNNNNNNNNNNNNNNNNNNNNNNNNNNNNNNNNNNNNNNNNNNNNNNNNNNNNNNNNNNNNNNNNNNNNNNNNNNNNNNNNNNNNNNNNNNNNNNNNNNNNNNNNNNNNNNNNNNNNNNNNNNNNNNNNNNNNNNNNNNNNNNNNNNNNNNNNNNNNNNNNNNNNNNNNNNNNNNNNNNNNNNNNNNNNNNNNNNNNNNNNNNNNNNNNNNNNNNNNNNNNNNNNNNNNNNNNNNNNNNNNNNNNNNNNNNNNNNNNNNNNNNNNNNNNNNNNNNNNNNNNNNNNNNNNNNNNNNNNNNNNNNNNNNNNNNNNNNNNNNNNNNNNNNNNNNNNNNNNNNNNNNNNNNNNNNNNNNNNNNNNNNNNNNNNNNNNNNNNNNNNNNNNNNNNNNNNNNNNNNNNNNNNNNNNNNNNNNNNNNNNNNNNNNNNNNNNNNNNNNNNNNNNNNNNNNNNNNNNNNNNNNNNNNNNNNNNNNNNNNNNNNNNNNNNNNNNNNNNNNNNNNNNNNNNNNNNNNNNNNNNNNNNNNNNNNNNNNNNNNNNNNNNNNNNNNNNNNNNNNNNNNNNNNNNNNNNNNNNNNNNNNNNNNNNNNNNNNNNNNNNNNNNNNNNNNNNNNNNNNNNNNNNNNNNNNNNNNNNNNNNNNNNNNNNNNNNNNNNNNNNNNNNNNNNNNNNNNNNNNNNNNNNNNNNNNNNNNNNNNNNNNNNNNNNNNNNNNNNNNNNNNNNNNNNNNNNNNNNNNNNNNNNNNNNNNNNNNNNNNNNNNNNNNNNNNNNNNNNNNNNNNNNNNNNGUCCCUCGGUAUAUUCCGAGGAAAGGUGUCCCUCGGUAUAUUCCGAGGAAGAUGUCCCUCGGUAUAUUCCGAUCGAUCGAUGGAUAUAUGUCCAAAAACGCAUCGAUCGAUGAACUUCCGAGGAAAUAUCCCGACGAAGUUCUCCCUCGGUAUAUUCCGAGGAGAUUUCCGACAAACUAGUGAUCCUCGGAAUUUCCUCGGAAAUUUGUUUCCUCGGAAUUCCGACUGAAAAUUCCGAGGGAUUUCCGAGGAAAGAAGAAAUUCCGAGGAAUUAUUUCCAAGGACUUGUUUCGUCGGUAUGUCGUCGGAAUAACGUUAUUCCGACGAAAUUCCGACGAUUUUUUCCCUCAGUAUCCUUGCUGUUUUCUUGUAGUGUUCUCUAAUACAUGGCUUUUAGCUCUUUUAAUUAUUUGUCUAGGUUCAAUCUCUAAUACAUAGCUUUUAUCUCUUUUAAUUCUUUGACUAGGUUCAAUCUCUGAUUGAUCAGUCUUGCCCUACUAAUCUUUCUUUAUUUCUUGAUUAUGUAGUGAACUUCAGUUUGUGCUUGGAUGAAUUGGCACAACCUUUUGUUUUCAGCUUUUGCCCUCUACAAGGUUAUGCCGACAGAAAUUUUCCCAUUUUUUAUUGAAUGGCUCUGAAUUAUCUAAUCCUCUAUUAUCCAUUAUACUACAUAAAGUUGAAAAGCAUGUAUCUUCUGAUUGAAGUGUUUAGUCCAGCAAGACGGCUUUGUUUAAAGCUAUAUGUUACUAUUUAAAACAUUUUUUCACAGAUACCGUUGUAUCUUCCUUGGGGCCUUGAAGAUUUUUUCUCACCCUACAUAGCUGCUUCUUAGGCUAAUAAUAUAUGGUUCUUCCCUCCACCAAAAGAACACAAUGUUUAUUGAACACUAUAUACAUUGGGUGCACCAUGAAUCAGUUUCUCGUUAAUCAUUCAAUUCGUAAUGUUUUGUUGUUACUAUCCAGACAUGUUAUUAUAGUUCUACAACUGCACUACAACGGGGAGUUAGCUGCAACUGUUGAUCACUGUAAAGUCUUUAGUUAAUGUUUAAACGGAUGCAAUUUUAUCACGGACUAUGGAGUAUUACGACAAUAUGAUUCAAUACUUAUCUCAUACCCCAUAGAUGCCUAGUGGACUUAUGUUACCUGAAAAUCACAUUAACCAAUGUUUUGAAUAUCAUGACUCGAUAGAAUGUGUUAGCAUAGACGUGUUUCUAUCACUUUAGAAGAUUGUUAAAUUUGAGCAGUCCAUUACGGUUUCAUACCAUGUGUGUUGUUGCCUACAAGACUAUAAGUAUUCCCUCAAAGUAGCUUUUAGGUUUGACUAUUACCCACUCACUUUAGGUGGUUUUGUUUGACCUUAUAAAGGGUUGGGUCCAUGUACCUUUCUAAACACACCGAGUUGAUUUCUUUAUCAUUGGUACCAAGAAUCCAUCAUAUAUUCUUACCCAAAAUACAUAAUAUUGUCAGGUAUUUGCGCAUAUAGAUGGUGUUACUGUGCCAAACUAGUUAAUGAGUGGAUAGAUUUGUGACGUAUUAGAGCAGACAUCAUUCUCAUCCUGUAGUCUUUGUUCUGCUUCUUCUUGCAAUACCUUGGUGUCCGUGAGCUUCAUCGAAACCAUUCUUUUCAGACAUUCAAAAGUAGUGGUUACUUUGUUCUACUCUGUGUUUGUGACAUAAGAUAUGCAGAUGAGUUCUCUGUAAAGCACUUAUCGAACUUUUCUUGGUACUUAACGGUUUUAAUUGUCAGGGCCGGUCUUAACGGUCCUAGACCCCCCAAAUUUUAAAGAGAAUAUAUAUAAUAUAUGUUUGGUGGCCCUAAAUUUUGUAUUAUUAAUAUCUAUACUUAAAUGUUGUUUAUAGCUUCCAAAAUCUCGCCAUGUAGAUUGUUAUCCCAAAACUUUGUAACAUUUUGGGCUUCAAGGAAAAGUAAAAGCUUUUGUAUUUGAUUUUGAAUCUUAUGGCUAGAAACAUAAACUAUGUUCAAAUCUAAAAAAUAAGAACCAAAUUCUUGAAAUCUAAUUGUUUCUUGGCAUAUAUUUAUCUGCUUUCUCUAAAAGUGUUUACUCUUGCUUCACGUUCUAGAGGAGCAAUUCUGAUAUCUAUGCUUUCCCUUGCUGGAACCUGAAGAGCUUCAUCGCAGUCGCCUAAGAUCUUUUGGCAUGUCUCAACCAGACAGUGUCUACAUUUCGGACAAGUGAUAUGUUGCGUAAGCCACUUGUCGAUACAACGAACGUGGAACCCGUGGUUGCACUUAGGAAGCAGCCGUAUCUGUUCACCAGCUACGAAAUCAGACAAACAAAUAACACAAUCCUCGCCGAGCCCUGAGAGGUUCAUCUCACGUGAGUAUUUCACUACAGGGAACAUCUUGAGAGCUUUCUUCUUGAUGCCUUUGUUUGCUGCUAGUGUGGACGGGCUUGAGAUGGGUUCAGAGAUCAUGAAGCUCGAGUGACGUCUGAACACGCACCGGAUUACGUAAUGCAACCCAAGUGAGCAGAUGAUACCGCACACAAGGACUGAGAGAAGAAGGAGAACGUUGCCGCUCAAGUUGUUCUUUUCAGGUGCAUGAGCUUGUUGCUGUUGUAUGGUGUGACUAAAUGGGAGUUGCUGAAGCAAUUUUCUCGAGAUGAAAUGUUCUUGGAAGACUUGAGAUGAAGAAGGUAAGUGAUCUGAAGACAUGUUUACUCUUUUUUUUUUUCGGUUUCUCUUGUGCUGUUUUAUUUCCUGAAUUGGUUGAAAACGGUGUUUAUAUAUAGAUUUGAUGAUACUUUAAGUUAGUGGGGACUAUGUGAAUUAUAUAUUUUAGAAAUCAAAUUUAUUUUAAGAGCUUAUCCAAUUCCACCAGUCCUUGUGUGUAUAGAUUGUGCCUAUGUCCAUAUCUUUUCCAAAUACAAAAUGCUUUUGUAGGGACAAUCAUUUAGUCUUAUAAAUAACUUAUAAUAAUAUUAUAAAUACAACAUAAAAUAGUCUUGAUAUCAAUGAUUCUUAUUUUAAUCAAAGAGGAAGGGAGGACCUUGUUGAGUUGUAUCUCUAUUAUGAUAUGUGGAGAGUUGUAAAGGAGUGUUGUUUGUUUGUUGCUUUUAUAAUUCUCUGUAUUAUUGUGUGCUUUUCUCUACAUGUGUUAUGUCGCUUCAUAAUUCUCUGAUUCUCUCUAUAUGUCAAAAUACCUUUCUAAUAAAAGAAAGUUUACGUGAGUAAAUUUGCUAACUCUGGAGAGCGCUUGCAACUAAAGUCAAUGAAAUUACUAUAUGUGUACAAAUAGAAUCACAACUGCGUAUAGUGGACGAUAAAAAGAUAGAUCUAUGUUGUUUAGACAAUUGUUCAUUUGAUCAUUUCAUUUCAUAUAAUCUUUACCCUUUACAGGUAAUAUAUGCAGAAUCGUUUUUUUGAUAGUGUAAUGAUUUUCCAAGAUCUAAAUGAUAUACUUGUCUGCAUAUAUAUAUGUGAACUUUUUCUGAAUUAUUGAGUUAUAUUAAUAUAUUUAUUUUUUAUUCUUUCUGCAAAAAAACGCCAAAGAAAAGAGGAGGAAACGAAACAGAUGUAAUCGGCUCUAUUGCCUCUUUUCGGUUCUAUACUACACAAACGUUAUCGUCUGGAUUUUGGUUUAGUCUUUUGCGUCGUUAUUAUCUUCCCUAACCUUAUUCUCUGGUGCCAUGUUUAGUUGCUUUUAAAUUUUAAUGUGAUUGUAUAAUCUCAAACACAAUUCUCCAACCCUUGAGAAAAUAUAGUAUGGUUUUAAAUCUACGACAAUCGAUAUUCGGGACGAUAAUUCGUUUACGGUAUUAAGAACGUUGCAAGUUUCAUCAAGUUUGACUGAUAAAGCAUAUACCAUUACAUAUUGCUCUUAAUCAACAUAGUAAGCUUUGAGUGAACAUUCAUAAUUUUCUAACUAAAAAGGGGCUUUAGUAUGUAUAAAUCAUGUGUGGUAUGUUGAAUAUUCAAUUCUAGAUAGAGACUUGGAGAUAGAUAUAACUAAAAUUUGUGGUUGUGGACAUGGAGCACCCCCAAAAAAUCACAUACAAGUGGGAUACUUGGUUUUUUAACCCUACUUUUUCUCAUUUUUUAUUUGCCUCUUUGAUUAAUUUAAUGAGCGGUUAUGAGAAAGUUUUGAGAUAUAGAUCUAGUUCUUGGUGCUCAUGUGAAAUAUUUUGCAUGUCGCGUAGGCUACUGUUAAGUUACAGAAUUUGAAAAUAAUCUUGUAGUAAUCCCAUAACUAAAAAAUAAUGUGUAGUGCGUUAAAAGAGAUUUUAAGAUGAAUACUGAUUGACAAAAAAAAAAGAUGAAUACUGAUUUCCACAUCGAUAUUAUCGUAGACAUAGGUAAACACUUCAACGUACAGGCAGCAUAAAACAUGUUUACAAAUAUUAUACCCUUCUUGUAGAGUUAAGAAAAUGAUAGUAAUAACCGACAAUUAUACCAACAAAUUUUUCAAUGUGUAGUGCUUGUUUCAAUUAGUUUUAACGUUAACGUAGAAUCAAAUCUUUGAGCGAAGCUGAGGCAGCAAUCUAUAUUAUAAUGAUUGAGUUUUUGCUCUCUAUUCAGCGCGGCACGUCAGCAUUUUGUGGAUCCCACUUUUAAAAAGUAUGAAAAAGUGUCAAGUCUGUAGCUCGAAUCCGGGUUAUUGAAAUAUAAACACCAACAUUUAUACCACUAAACUAAAUGAUACUUUGUACAUUGAUGGCCGAAACUAAUAUAUAUUUAUGAAGGUCGGAAACUCUUGCUUCUUCGGCUUUUUCUGUGGACCGGGCCUAGGGAAGGAAAAUAAUAUAGAUUAUUUUUAAUUAAUUUUCUGAUUCUUUGUUGAAUAAUAUUAUUUGCAGAUUCUGUGAUUCAUAAGUUUAUUCCCGCCGGACGUACAAAUCAUUACAUGCCAUCUUUGAAAGCCGGUUUCAUUGUGUAAGUCGAUCAUUUUGAGGUUGAUAGGUGCUCAAACAUGUACAAGAUAAUUGAUCACUCAUUCCUCAUUCGUUUCAUCUCACCAACUAUUAUUGAUGAAGUCAUCACAGAUGCUCCUAAGAUCAAUCUCCAGUCGUAAUUAGUUUGUUUGACAAUUUCCAAGUGAUUGCGAACACAAAACUAGAACUCUCAGGUAUAUUAUCAUAUUGCAUCUGGGUUUAUAUUAUGUUUCGAUAUCAUAACUGAUAUUUAAACUCGCAGAUGUGGUUGGGCAAAUCUGUUCUGUCCAGGGCUCUGACCUUACCAAAAAAACAACCCGAGUCGUUAUCCGUCUCCUCAUUGAUUCGUAAGAAACAAUCAACACACAAUUCCCUUUAUAUUAUUAUCUAUAUUCUGCUAACAUCAAUAAUCAAAAAUAUUUCCUACCCAAAUAUGUGGUCAUCUAUUUAUCUCCCUUACUUAUCAAACUAAUUUUACACAACUUUUAUUUUACAGCUUAAAAGAAACCACAACAUGCCAAACAAUCAAAACAUCAAAAAUUAGAAUUCCAAAAAAGACAAAUCAUUAAUGAUCACCUCUCUUUUUUUGUCUAAUCUUAGAAAUAAACUUCAAAACAAAUAUACCAAAUCAAUCACCUCAACUAAAACUCAACGACACAUACAUCGAGUCAGCUAAACAAAUACAAACUACACGGCCAACUAUUUAACAAUUUACAAACUUACUUUCGCAAAGAAGAAGACGAAGACGACAACCAAAAUCAGUGAAAUUACCUAAACAAAAAAGCAGAGUAGAUUACGAACUCUGAUAAAUACAACUAACAAUGAUUUUUGUUUACAUAUUACCCAUCAAAUAAAAGAGAAACAAACACAACCAAACCAGAAGAUACAAGAUAAAAUCCCGACAGACACAAAGGCGGCAACAACAUCUCCACCUGCUCACUCCUCUUGUCUUAUAAAACAGCUUACAUGCCCAAUGUCAACAGGUCAAUGUUAUUGUCUUCUUAUGAGAAAUACAUAAAUUCGUUUAAAACCCAUUAAUGCCCAAAUACUAAGAACUGUCACUCAUUUUAUAGUUAUUUCUACAAGUCUUCAUGUAUUUGUUUUAAAGGUCCGGUAAGAGCAACAAGUUUAAAAAUAAAAUAAAAACAUAUAACAAACAUAAUAAGGAUAAUAAAAAUUAUUACUUAAUACCAGUGCCGGUCUUGAGUUUAGAACGACUAGAAGCAAGAAAAAAAAAUGGGCUGCUAUGUAUGUUCAUUAAAAAUAAAAAUUGGCUAUAGGGGAGGUUCGAACCCAGGAAUUGUAAGUGUGCACUGAUACCUAACCACUGCACCAAAGGCGCUAAACAAAUUUGAAGGCCGAAGUUUGUUUAUGAAGUUGACGGCCGGAAGCUAAAGCUUCUGCCGCUUCCCCUCAAGGCCGGUACUGCUUAAUACACAAAACAUACACAACUAAACUGGAGAAAAAAUAUCCAGAAAUAAAAGGUACUCUCAAGAACUUUAAUAUAAUUUAUGUACUCUUAAUUGUACAAGAAACAAAUUAAAAAGACAAACAAACAAUAAGUCUCAGUGACACCGCAAACAACACCAGCAAGUAUAUCAAUCACAUUACUAACACAGUUUAGUACUUCAUAAGUAGAGAACAAUGCAUACACAAUUCAUCAUCACAACUUCAACCCUAUAACAAUAAAAAGACUUGAAAAACAACUCAAAACGCAAAAUUCACAACUACAAUAACCCUAGCAAAUAUUGAGAUGAAACAAAAACUUUGUCCACGACUCCGCGCUUGCGCGGAGGCAAUGCCCCUAGUGUUUUGAAUGGUUCAUGUUUUAGCCAAAAGAAAAAAUGGUUCAUGUCUCUUAUAAUUCAUUUUAUUAGGUUUUUUUUUUUUUGGACAAAAAAAAUCAUUUUAUUAGGUUUCAACUCAUUUCUAAUGAGUACUAUCCAAAAUAAGCAUGGUUUAAUGUGUCAGUGAACCAGUUAAGGAUCAAAUUCAAAUUGCAGAUGGGCUUGUAGUAGCCCAAUUAAAAGAAGUAUGUUCUAAAGAGAAGUUUAUCUGACUGGUUUGGUAAAACCAUGUCAUUUCCACUUACUAUUAAUAUCUUGUGAUAUUCAUAGCUCUAACCUUAUCAUUUCUCUUCUUUUAGGUUCAUCUUGCAUACAUUUAAGUGUAUUUAGUGUCUUUGCAUCUGUAUUUGCUUCGUAGAACCUUUGGAGCAGGUAUUUAAGUGAAAUGAGCAAUUCAAGAGAUGAAAUGAGUAAAAUGGAGAAAUUGAGGUCGUAGGAGUGUACUAGCGGCCAGGCUAGCGGUCUCUGCCUAAACCGCUAGAAACACAGUUUAACAGCGGCCACAUCUAGCGGCCUCUACCUUCGCCGCUAGAAAAAGACGGAGAAAACCCGAGGAAAACUCCAAUCAAUUCCAUUUAAUCCGGGGCACAUUGGUUUAACCAUGCACCGCGAGAGUCAAAAGAAUAUAGCGGCCACCUCUAGUGGUCUCUACCUAGGCCGCUAGAUAUGUCCAGAAGACGAAGAAGAUGCUCCCAACGGCGUCCAUAUUGACCAGAAUGAAGGCCGCUACACUCCCCUUGCUAGUGGUUCCUCCAAGCAGUUUGAAACAUAGCCGCUGCCGUCACUUAACCUAAAGAGAUUUUGUGUGUUUUAACCUCCUAGUAUAAAUAGUCUUUGUUAAGAAAGAAAAUCAUUUUAUCCAUUGUAAAACAAUAAAACCUUUUGGAUCUUUGGAGUUUAUGCAAUUAGUACUUUCAUUCAGUUGAUAACUUGUGAUUAUCUCUUCUGCUAUCUUGAUUAUGCUUUUAUCUAUCAUGAGUUUAAGUGUAACUAAGAUGAUUAUUGAAUAAUCACCUUUUGAAUCCAUCGGUUAGGUAGAUCUAGGGUGAUUAAUGAAGAGUUAAAGUGUUUGAUGAUUAGAUCUCUUUGUUUCUAUGCAUAUUGAGUGUUUUUAAUGCUUGAUUUGACUUGAUCACUCUCAUCUUGAUAAAAAAGUUAUUUUAUACCUGAAAGGUGUUUGUUAAAAUGCUUGACUGAACUUGAUAUUGCUUUUGCUUGAAUAACCAAAUGGAUUUGAUUUUAGGGUUGCUAGAUGGUUAAUAGACUUGAAUAUAAUGCAUGCUUUAAUGAUUUAAACCAAUAAGAAUUGAUGUUUAAUUCAUGAUUGCAUAGAGGUCUUUGCCUUGGGAAAAGAUUGAUCUUUAUUUGUGUUCUAAACCUAUAGAAACUUAAUUGCUUGAAGUUAACACCUUGAAUUGAAUUUAAUUACCUUAGAUCAAUUGCCUUAAGCCCAUGGGUUCUUACUUGAUCAAUUGAUUGAAAGUUUGUUACUUUAUUGCUUAGUAUCUUGUUACUUGAAUCAUAUCAUUUCACAACCUUGAUUGCACUUAGAUUAAGCAUUAAUUUGCAUUCUUUUUGGAUCAAAAUUGCUUAAGAUUGGAUUGACUCUUAGUUACUACUUUGACUUACGAUUAGAAAUAAUCCUUAUCAACUAAGCAACAAUAACAACAGAAAAAACUCUAAAUAUGAGAGGAUCAUCCCUUGGCAGAGAGUUUUCGCAAGUAAAGCAUUCAUGCUGACGUCCAUGUUGCCCACACGCACUGGAGAAGUAUGUAAACUUCAUUGAUUCUUUGUUACAAAGGUUCUUGGAUGUUUAACGUGUUGGUCCCUUUUUUUGACUGAAACACACUAAAAAGUGCUCUAUGGAUGUGUAUUGGUCUUUGGCCUCGUUCGUUUGUACAUCUGGAAAAUGCAUACAGAUGGUCCAUCUAACAUAACUGUCUUAUGCAAAUGAUCUAAAGUUGUUCAUUUAUGUAUUUCGUCUAUGUAUCCAGGUGAAUCAUCUGAAUGCAACUAUAUUCAUUUGCUUUUUUUUUAAUAUAAUUUGCAUCUGCAUCCAGAUGUAUCUGUUACUAAAAUGAGCAAAAUAGACUUAUUUUUACAUUUUUGACGAAAAUUGCGUUUUAAAAAUUUUGACGAAAAAUGUAUUUUUCGGUUUUGAUCAUCUGGGUGAGUAAACGAACAUCACCUUUCCCUGUUUUACUAACAUCUUGACUGCUUGUUUUACUGUACAUAAUCUGCUUGGGUCACUAACGGUGUUUGCUCUCAGAUGGCUAGCUCUUCCUGAUGCGGUUGAGGAUAAGUUCUCUCAGCUUCAGGCCAUCGGAAUGUUAAAAAGUAUCCAGUGAUGAAGUGAGUAAUAUUUACACCAUGGCCUUUUUGAGCAAUUUUGAAAGUAAUUAUUUUUAGUGAUCAGAAGGCAUAAACCAUUAAAUUAAAUUUUGUUUUUUAUUAAUCAAAGGUGUCCAGCAGGCCAUGACAAAAUAAAUAAUUAUGAAAUUAGUUAAUCAAAAACAGAUUAAUUAUGAAAUUAGUUUUUUUUAUGGGUUUUUUGCAAAAUUGACUCAAAACUCAAAGUCAAACCUAAAACUCACCCAUGUUUUUUUUGGAUUUUUCUUUUGUACUAUUCACCCCACAAGUUCAUAUAAUUCACGAAAAUGCCAUCAAUUUUUUUUUCUUCCAAAAAUGACAUUUUCACUCUUUCACCCUCAUCAUCUUCAAGUAAUUACAAUAUUGUCAUUGUCAUCAAUACCCCAACCACCAUGAACAACCAAUUUGAAGCUUUUAAUGCACCUAAAAUCGAUUUACACUCUCUCUUUCUCACUUGUUAUGAACUAAAAACAACAUCUCUUUCACUUUGCCUCCAUAUUCAUCCAAAAAACUCAAGCUUUUGAUUCAAAUUUUUUUAUGGUUGAUAGAGCCAUUCAAGCAUACUAUUCUUGGUGGGUUACUUUCGUUUGAGAUUCUGAGUGGUUGGAGAAGACUCUGUGUGCUAAGGAAGUCAUCUCAUUAGUUUAAGGUAUGAAAUUGAUUUUUUUUUCAGAUAUGUUCGUGUAGAAGACUUACCGUAAGUAGUCUGGCUGUAAAAGACUUACGGGUAAGUCUUCUGGUCAAACGGACGACUUACUUUUAAGUCGUCAUCUUUGUUUGUUAAAAAAAAUCUAGAGAAUACCCUAGACGACUUACUGAUAAGUCGUCUACGAUAAACGGGUUAGUUUUGCAUUUGACCAAAUUGUGUCAGAGAUUUGACUUUUCCUGGACGACUUACUGGUAAGUCGUCUUUGGGAAAACAAAAUUUUUAAUAUUUUAUUAAAGCUGGACGACUUAUAUGUAAGUCGUCUCAGGUUACUUUUGCAAUUGGAAAAUAAAACUUAAAUAUUUAACUUUUCCCAGACGACUUACGCGGAAGUCGUCAAGUAAGACGACUUACUUGAAAGUCGUCCAGGAUAAGCAAAGUCGUCCAGAUUUAUUUCCUAGAUUAUGGUCAAACCUUGCUUAUCUCGGACGACUUUCUCGUACGUCGUCUACCUGGACGAUUUUCAAGUAAGUCGUCUGGGUAAAGUUAAAUAUUUAAGUUUCUUUUUCGAAUUGCAAACUAACCUGAGAAGACUUACAAAUAAGUCGUCUAGCUUUAAUAAAAUAUUGAAAUUUUUGUUUUUCCGGAGACGACUUACUGGUAAGUCGUCCAGAAAAAGUCAAAUAUCUAACACAAUUCGGCCAAAUGCAAAACUAACCUUUUUAUCCUAGACGACUUACCAGUAAGUCGUCUAGGGUUUUUUUUUUAACAAACAUAGCUGGACGACUUACUUGUAAGUCGUCCUAUUUAAAAUUCAAUUGCAAAAAUGACCUGUUUGGACGACUUACUGGUAAGUCUUCCAGACGACUUACUGGUAUGUCGUCUGCGUCAAUGUUUAGUAAACUUUCAUUUUCUCUAUGUUUACUAAUGUGUUUUAUUUUGAAUUUUUGUAGAUGAUGCGUCAGUUACAUGCAGUGUAUGGAGAAUGGUUGUUGAAUGAUUGCCGUUGGGAUUUUGUGGUUGAUAAUGUCAAAGGAGCGAGAAUCAUUUUUUUGGGGGAAGGUUCGACACAUGCUGAACUUCUUGCAAUUGCUCAAGAAGAUUAUAACCUGGACAUGAGCACAUAAUCUUUGGAUAUAACCUACUCAUUACCAGCAGAAAUGAUGCAGGCUUCAGACACCCCUCCUAUUCAUGUUACAAGUGAUAGACAAGUUCGAAACUUGCUCGAGAUAACCAAAACGCAUGGAGUACGGCUUUGUGUAUUAAGCCGUAGCAAGGUGGAAACGGUUUCAGAGUUCCAGGAAGAAGAUGAUGAAGCUGAUGAAGCUGAUGAAUGUUUUGAAGAUGAUGAUGAUGAUUUGGUUGAAGAUGAAAAUCAUAAUGGGGAGGAGGAUGCUGGUAUCUCUAUUGUUGCUGAAGCGGACGAGAAUGGUGAGAAUUACAGUGUUUAUGGAAAGGUUGAAGAUGAGGAUGAGGAAGAUGAUGAUAUGUGUUUUGAAGAUAUCAAAAAGAUUGAAGGAGGAAGAUCGAAUGGUAACAGUAUCUAUGUCAACCAGAGUUUUGUUAGCAAGGAUGCACUGCUUUCAGAGCUGCGGUUGACAGCAGUGAGGUUUAGGUUCUCCUUCAGAAUAUACAAGUCAACGAAAACUCUCCUUGUGACAACAUGUCCGGUUAGUGGUUGUCAAUGGAAGGUCAGAGCGAGUGUGAAACAUGGGACAAACACGUUUUGGGUAACAAAGUAUGUGGAAAAACAUACAUGCUCAGUGGGAGACCGACUCGCUCAGCGGAGACACUGUACUCCGAAGUAUGUUGGUAGGCUUUUCAUUGAUCGUGUUGGAAUCAUUGAUGGGUUGAAUCCGCAGCAUAUCACUGAUGCAAUGAAGAACAUGUUUGGCAUGACGCUUGAUUACACCACUUCAUAUAGAGCACUUUUAUAUGCACAAACAUUGGUGAGAGGAUCAGCAGAAGAUGGGUAUUCGCGUCUGCCAUCAUAUCUCGAGCAAAUCUCCUUAGCAAAUCCCGAUUCUAUCACGGCUAUAGAACUUGAUUCUAUCAAUAGAUUUAAGUAUUUAUUUCUCACAUUUGAAGCUUCUAUCAAAGGUUUUAAGUAUCAGAGAAGAGUCAUUGUGGUGGAUGGGACUCACCUAAGUGGGAAUUAUGGAGGUGUUAUGUUAGUUGGAGCCGCACAAGAUGAGAAUUUUUAGAUAUUUCCAUUGGCUUUUGGGAUCGUAGAUGUUGAAGAUGAACCUUCUUGGGAAUGGUUUUUCACAAAAUUGGCUAGUUGUGUAUCUGAUGAGCAGCCUCUGGUGAUAAUCUCCGACCGGCACGCGGCCAUUAAAAGUGCGUGUGAUAAGGUGUUUCCUUGGACAACCCGAGGAAUAUGUUAUUAUCACCUUCAAGAGAACAUUGUCAAAAAGUAUAAAUGGAAACAUCUCUUGUACUUGGUGAAAGGUGCUGCUUAUGCUCAUACGGUUUCAGAUUUUGACCGGUACAUGGCUGAGAUACGGAGUGCAAACCCGGACCUUGCAACGUAUUUGGAGAAUGCCGACGUCAGCCUAUGGUCAAGGGUUUAUUGUCAGGGGGACAUGUACAACAUAAAGACAAGCAACAUCGCUGAAUCUAUUAAUUCCGCUCUGAAGCGAGCUAGAGGAUUUCCGGUUCAGUUCCUGUUGGAGUUCAUAAGGGAGAAGCUAGGAAAGUGGUUUUGGAAAAGGAGAGAAGAUGCUUUGAGUCUCCCAACUCAACAUAGUCGAGGUGUUGAAUACUUUCUUGCUGUUCGAUCGGAGAUAGCGGAUACGAUGACGGUACAACCAAUUGAUGGAUGGCGAUUCUUUGUGAAAGGUGGCAAAAUGGACUGUGUGGUUGAUUUGGAACAUGGAAAGUGUGAUUGUGGUGUCUAUGCAGUGGAGAAAAUACCUUGCUCUCAUGCUAUAGCUGCUGGAACAUCUGCUGGUUUGCAUAUCUCCACACUUGUAUGUCCAGUGUACUCAAAUGAUUUUCUGUUUGCAGAAUACUCAGAGAAUAUAUAUCCUUGUGUUGGACAACAAGUUGAGGAACACACAUGCUUUUCUCCGGAUGUAAAGCGUGGUCCGGAAAGACAGAAGAAAUCAAAAUGGCAAUCUUGGUUGGAGCUAUCCAGGAUGAGAAGACGCAAACCCCAGAAGCAACACAGAGUUUAUAGAUGCUCAAAAUGCAAGGAAACUGGCCAUACGAAACCACAAUGUAAGUCGUCCAGUGUUUAGUCUUUCAGAAGACCUUCAAUUAAGUCGUCCAGUUAGUCGUCCAGGGUUUUUUCUUCCAGAAGACCUUCAAGUAAGUCGUCCAGUGUUUAGUCUUCCAAGUCGUCCANNNNNNNNNNNNNNNNNNNNNNNNNNNNNNNNNNNNNNNNNNNNNNNNNNNNNNNNNNNNNNNNNNNNNNNNNNNNNNNNNNNNNNNNNNNNNNNNNNNNNNNNNNNNNNNNNNNNNNNNNNNNNNNNNNNNNNNNNNNNNNNNNNNNNNNNNNNNNNNNNNNNNNNNNNNNNNNNNNNNNNNNNNNNNNNNNNNNNNNNNNNNNNNNNNNNNNNNNNNNNNNNNNNNNNNNNNNNNNNNNAGUUAGUCGUCCAGUGUUCAGUCUAUGUACUAAAAAUUUGUGUUAUGAACUUAUCUGUGUCAACUUCUUUGUCAAAUUGCACUACCAAAAAAAUUUGAGAUGGUCUUGCCCUUUAUAUUAUCUGAAAUAUAGUUACAAAAGGUCACUGCUCAGAAGACUUUCCAGACUACUUAUAGUUAAGUCGUCCAAAAUAGGGAUCAAGUUCAAAUACAAAAUAGGGAUCAAGUUCAAAUACAAAAUAGGGAUCAAGUUCAAAUACAAAAUAGGGAUCAAGUUCAAAUACAAAAUAGGGAUCAAGUUCAAAUACAAAAUAGGGAUCAAGUUCAAAUACACACAUCACCCUAAUCUAUCGUACAAAAUAAUCUAAUGAAGCCUAUUUAUCACCCCUCAUAGGCACCCAGGUUGGCAUCAUUGUCCUUGUUUUCGAACUCAUGCGCAUCAGGAAGCUCUUAAAAUAUAUCCACCGCCAUCUUAUCCCUCAUAGUCUUCCCGUCGACCUUAUCAAAUUCCUUUUUACUAAACUAUAUCCCAAGAGCAUGGCAUUCAACGUACUUUAGAGUGUACACGCCACAAUCACCAGCUCGGGCCGGAGGUAUAUUGGUCGGUCUCUCAUAUGUGAAUGGCUCCAGGCUGUAUUGGGCACGUUGUUCGUCUGAGGAAGCGCACUCAACAAGCAGAUAAGGGACCAUGUAGAGAAAAGGCUCCAUUACCACAUCGAGUUCUUUUGGGGAGAUACUGGAACAAAUGUUGUCAAAGACGACUAUGUGCCUCUUAGGGAUCGAUAUCCAAAUAGCAAUCCAAUGACUGUCGGCGAAGUUUACUGGCGCAUAGAUAUCAUCAAUAUUCGUCCCCCAAACCUUGUUCGAUUGGCAAAAUGAUGGUAUAGUGCCUGCAUAAUAAUUCCACGCCCCACCAGGGAGUCUUCUUCCUAAACCGUUUUGAUCGGGCUCCGAGUCCUUAAAAUCCUUGAAGUUGAAUCUCCAUUGCUGAGCAAAGAGAUGAUCAAGGAAGCACAUUCUCUCGCUCCUGAAAUAUUGUGGGUUAGCGUCGUACCUCUUCCUCGGCACAUUAAUCCAAGCAUCAAUAUGCUGCAUAUAAAAUAGGGUACAAGUCAGAAGAUAUCAGACGACUUACUGGUAAGUCGUCUACGUAGACGACUUACCAGACGACUCGUCUGGUAAGUCUUCUCCGUAGACGACUUAUUGGUUAGUCGUCUACAAAGAAGACUUAUCAGUAAGUCAUCUAAGUAAUAGCAGAAGACUUACACGGUCCUCCAGCCACUCUAAGGAGGUUCGGAGGAUUUGAUACCACCAAGUUGUACUUUUACGUGGCUUUUUAUCGAGAGGUGUUCUAUAAUGACUGCAAACACAAAAUGUUGAAAAGCAAUCACUUUUUGUAGACUAAAGCAAGCUAUUAUGGGAAAAGCAAGCUAUUAUGGGAAAAGCAAGCUAUUAUGGGAAAAGCAAGCUAUUAUGGGAAAAGCAAGCUAUUAUGGGAAAAGCAAACACUUACGGACAAGUUUUCAACCAAUCAGCGAGCUCCUUCAACUUCUUCUUGUCAAUUGGUGCAAAAGGAUUAUAGCCUGGAUAAAGCUUUUUGUUUGGAAUGAUCACUUUGGCCGUGCUGUUUGCCGUAUNNNNNNNNNNNNNNNNNNNNNNNNNNNNNNNNNNNNNNNNNNNNNNNNNNNNNNNNNNNNNNNNNNNNNNNNNNNNNNNNNNNNNNNNNNNNNNNNNNNNNNNNNNNNNNNNNNNNNNNNNNNNNNNNNNNNNNNNNNNNNNNNNNNNNNNNNNNNNNNNNNNNNNNNNNNNNNNNNNNNNNNNNNNNNNNNNNNNNNNNNNNNNNNNNNNNNNNNNNNNNNNNNNNNNNNNNNNNNNNNNNNNNNNNNNNNNNNNNNNNNNNNNNNNNNNNNNNNNNNNNNNNNNNNNNNNNNNNNNNNNNNNNNNNNNNNNNNNNNNNNNNNNNNNNNNNNNNNNNNNNNNNNNNNNNNNNNNNNNNNNNNNNNNNNNNNNNNNNNNNNNNNNNNNNNNNNNNNNNNNNNNNNNNNNNNNNNNNNNNNNNNNNNNNNNNNNNNNNNNNNNNNNNNNNNNNNNNNNNNNNNNNNNNNNNNNNNNNNNNNNNNNNNNNNNNNNNNNNNNNNNNNNNNNNNNNNNNNNNNNNNNNNNNNNNNNNNNNNNNNNNNNNNNNNNNNNNNNNNNNNNNNNNNNNNNNNNNNNNNNNNNNNNNNNNNNNNNNNNNNNNNNNNNNNNNNNNNNNNNNNNNNNNNNNNNNNNNNNNNNNNNNNNNNNNNNNNNNNNNNNNNNNNNNNNNNNNNNNNNNNNNNNNNNNNNNNNNNNNNNNNNNNNNNNNNNNNNNNNNNNNNNNNNNNNNNNNNNNNNNNNNNNNNNNNNNNNNNNNNNNNNNNNNNNNNNNNNNNNNNNNNNNNNNNNNNNNNNNNNNNNNNNNNNNNNNNNNNNNNNNNNNNNNNNNNNNNNNNNNNNNNNNNNNNNNNNNNNNNNNNNNNNNNNNNNNNNNNNNNNNNNNNNNNNNNNNNNNNNNNNNNNNNNNNNNNNNNNNNNNNNNNNNNNNNNNNAACAUCAAACUCCCAUUUUGGAAACAUUUCACCAAUGUCCUUCUGAACAAAGUUGAUCACCCUAGUCUGCAGUAAAUAGAAGAUAUGAACUUAGAUAUUUGACGGAUUAAUAAAGAUGGAAAGAAAAGACUUCGCAGACGACUUAUAAUUAAGUCGUCUGGAAAGUCUUCCAGUUAGACGACUUAGUAGACGACUUCUAAUUAAGUUGUCUAGAAAGUCUUCCAGUUGGAAGACUUAGUAGAAGACUUAUAAUUAAGUAGUCUGGAUAGUCUUUCCAGAUGACUUAAUUAUAAGUCUUCUCCUAAGACAUCCAGCUGGAAGACUUUCCAGACGACUUAAUUACAAGUCUUCUACUAAGUCGUCCAGUUGGAAGACUUAUCAGACGACUUAAUUAUAAGUCUUCUGCGAAGUCGUCCAGAUUGAAGUAAAUUCCUGACUCAGGAUAGCCUCUUUAAACUGUUUGCGUCCUUUGCGACCCUUGUAAGCCAGUAUCGGUGGAGACGGAUUGUUUGGGAGAGGAUUACCAUAAGUAGCACCCAAUUCAGGAAGAGCUGUAUACACCCAUACCUGGAGAGCUUGCGCAAACCCAUUAAUAGUGUAACAACCCGAAAUAUCUAUGCCCUUCAGUACCGCUGACUUCCCAGUAAUCCAUGGUCUACUUCCACGGUGUCUUCACAAACAUGAGUUUAAUUAUGUUCUCCGCGGGCGUGUCCUGAACAUCAAACUCCCAUUUUGGAAACAUUUGACCAAUGUCCUUCUGAACAAAGUUGAUCACCCUAGUCUGCAGUAAAUAGAAGAUAUGAACUUAGAUAUUUGACGGAUUAAUAAAGAUGGAAAGAAAAGACUUCGCAGACGACUUAUAAUUAAGUCGUCUGGAAAGUCUUCCAGUUAGACGACUUAGUAGACGACUUCUAAUUAAGUUGUCUAGAAAGUCUUCCAGUUGGAAGACUUAGUAGAAGACUUAUAAUUAAGUAGUCUGGAUAGUCUUUCCAGAUGACUUAAUUAUAAGUCUUCUCCUAAGACAUCCAGCUGGAAGACUUUCCAGACGACUUAAUUACAAGUCUUCUACUAAGUCGUCCAGUUGGAAGACUUAUCAGACGACUUAAUUAUAAGUCUUCUGCGAAGUCGUCCAGAUUGAAGUAAAUUCCUGACUCAGGAUAGCCUCUUUAAACUGUUUGCGUCCUUUGCGACCCUUGUAAGCCAGUAUCGGUGGAGACGGAUUGUUUGGGAGAGGAUUACCAUAAGUAGCACCCAAUUCAGGAAGAGCUGUAUACACCCAUACCUGGAGAGCUUGCGCAAACCCAUUAAUAGUGUAACAACCCGAAAUAUCUAUGCCCUUCACAGAGUCCAUCAGCACCUUAAACGCGACUCUCCCCCAUGGAUAAUUCUCAAACCGUUCUAGCUCUAUCACUAGCCUUGCCAGACUAACCUGUGUAGGGGUUGAAUACUUUCUCCCUUCAAUAUAUCCAGUGAAGAUGGCAAGGUACGCGAGCCGCUUGCGAUCAUCCCGAGACCACCCUUCGCAUCUCUCAAAUGUUGCUAUUAUCUCCUGAGUAGAUGGCCCAACUUCGACAUGAACUCCCAACAUCUCCCAAAAAGAAGUCAACUCCUUUGUAACAACACAGUGAGGUCUCUCAAGGUCCUCGAUGUACUCGCAGUUUAGACCAGUGAGGUUUUCAAACUCUAACAGUGAAAACCUCACAGGUUGUGGACCAACGAGACUCCACAGCUCAUACUUCUUCUUUAUGUCCAGCUGGAAACCGAGCAUAUAGUGAACCAGCCUUGAAGCCCAAUCAAAUCCCAGCUCUUGGAACUUGAUGAAAACUCCCAACUUCGACUCCUUCAGCUCUUCAUAUUCGUCAUCAUGAAGAGCUUUCUUUAAAGCAGUAUGCAUGGAUGCCAUAACCAUACAGGGAUUGUAAUACGCUUUAGAUGUUGCCUCAUUAAAACCUUACCAGGAAAACCCAGUGGGACAAAACCACGGUGAAGGAAAAAGAGUACAACACGUAUUACUCCCUCUGUUCUGAACAACUCGCGGCUGGCCUCAUGAACAGCCAAGAUCUCCGAAUGGUUUGAAGAUGUGUCCGCGAUCGUCUGCUUCAUGGAACGCCAUGAUAUGGCCGUUCCACCAUGUGUAAAAACAUAGCAUGUCUGUGAUCGAGCAUUGUGUGAAUCCGAAAGAUAACCUGCAUCAGCAAAAUCAACUAAACCUUCUUUGUUUUAGUUAGUAUAAAAUAAACCCAAGUCUUUCGUUCCUUGCAGGUAACGAAGAACAUGUUUAAUCCCGUUCCAGUGCCUUUGGGUUGGACAAGAGCUUAAUCUAGACAAUAGAGUCAUGGCAAAACAUAUAUCUGGUCGUGUGACUAACCAGAUACAUCAAAGCUCCUAUGGCACUGAGAUAUGGCACUUCGGGACCAAGGACAUCUUUAUCGUCCAUCUUAGAAUGGAACGGAUCAGUGUCCAGGCCGAGGGACCUCACGACCAUGGGGCUAGAUAAUGGGGGAGACUCGGCCAUGUUGAAUCUCUUGAGUACUUUUCUGUAUAUUCCAUUUGAUACACAAGGAUUCCAUCUCUUAUGUACUCAAGCUGUAAUCCCAAACAAAACUUUGUUUUUUCAAGAUCUUUCAUCUCGAAUUCUUUCUUAAGAUAUUCAACUGUUUGGAAGAUUUCUCCAGAGGUUCCUAUGAUAUUUAAAUCAUCAACAUACACUGGUAUAAUCACAAAGCCCUGGCCGAAUUUCUUUAUAAAAAUACAAGGGCUGAUUGGAUCAUUCUUGUAUCCUUCUCUAGGUACUCACUUAACCUAUUGUACCACAUUCGGCCUGAUUGUUUCAAUCCAUAAAGUGACUUAUUCAACUUUAUACAGUGUUGUUCUCGAGUACUCGAUUUGUUUUUCAACUCUAUACCCUCUGGUACGAUACGAAAUGCUAUGCACUGCGGGGGGAUCUUCCCCUAAUGUAUAUAUCCUACGGGGGAGUUCUGACAUCUCCAUUUUUUUUGCCUGCAAAACAGUCAAAGACAACCAUCUCAAACAGCUGAAAGACUUAUAAUUAAGUCGUCUGGAAAGUCUUUCAAAUUUAAAGUUUUGCAAACUCUAAGCUGCUACAAAUUUCCCCUUCAAAGAUGUUUUUGCAAAAUAUAUAAAUUUCACAUUCGUGUUAUGAAAUAAGAGAAUAUAAUAUGUAUGUUUCUGUAUUAUUCAUAAACAUAAGGAGCCCUUUAUAUAUAGGGAAUUACACCGUCAUAGAAUAAUGGAAAGACUAAAGAAAUGAAAUACAAAUAUGGAAAAAGUACAAAUCAUAAUCUAAUAAGGAAAAAGGCAAGAUGCCGAUUCUCUCUCUCUCUCUCUCCUCACGGUCGACUCUCUCUCUCUAGCAUUGGGCCGGUUAUGAACCGGGCCGGUUAUGGACAUCCACAAUAUGAUUUAUAACACUCCCUCUGGAUGCCAUAACCAUACAGGGAUUGUAAUACGCUUUAGAUGUUGCCUCAUUAAAACCUUACCAGGAAAACCCAGUGGGACAAAACCACGGUGAAGGAAAAAGAGUACAACACGUAUUACUCCCUCUGUUCUGAACCAGUGGGACAAAACCAUGGUGAAGGAAAAAGAGUACAACACGUAUUACUCCCUCUGUUCUGAACAACUCGCGGCUGGCCUCAUGAACAGCCAAGAUCUCCGAAUGGUUUGAAGAUGUGUCCGCGAUCGUCUGCUUCAUGGAACGCCAUGAUAUGGCCGUUCCACCAUGUGUAAAAACAUAGCAUGUCUGUGAUCGAGCAUUGUGUGAAUCCGAAAGAUAACCUGCAUCAGCAAAAUCAACUAAACCUUCUUUGUUUUAGUUAGUAUAAAAUAAACCCAAGUCUUUCGUUCCUUGCAGGUAACGAAGAACAUGUUUAAUCCCGUUCCAGUGCCUUUGGGUUGGACAAGAGCUUAAUCUAGACAAUAGAGUCAUGGCAAAACAUAUAUCUGGUCGUGUGACUAACCAGAUACAUCAAAGCUCCUAUGGCACUGAGAUAUGGCACUUCGGGACCAAGGACAUCUUUAUCGUCCAUCUUAGAAUGGAACGGAUCAGUGUCCAGGCCGAGGGACCUCACGACCAUGGGGCUAGAUAAUGGGGGAGACUCGGCCAUGUUGAAUCUCUUGAGUACUUUUCUGUAUAUUCCAUUUGAUACACAAGGAUUCCAUCUCUUAUGUACUCAAGCUGUAAUCCCAAACAAAACUUUGUUUUUCCAAGAUCUUUCAUCUCGAAUUCUUUCUUAAGAUAUUCAACUGUUUGGAAGAUUUCUCCAGAGGUUCCUAGGAUAUUUAAAUCAUCAACAUACACUGGUAUAAUCACAAAGCCCUGGCCGAAUUUCUUUAUAAAAAUACAAGGGCUGAUUGGAUCAUUCUUGUAUCCUUCUCUAGGUACUCACUUAACCUAUUGUACCACAUUCGGCCUGAUUGUUUCAAUCCAUAAAGUGACUUAUUCAACUUUAUACAGUGUUGUUCUCGAGUACUCGAUUUGUUUUUCAACUCUAUACCCUCUGGUAUUUUCAUAUAUAUUUCAUUAUCCAGUGGACCAUAUAAGUAUGCAGUUACAACAUCCAUUAACCGCAAGUCUAAGUUUUCUCUAUAGCCAGACUUAUCAGGAAUCUAAAAGUAGUAGCAUCCACCACAGGGGAGUAUGUCUCCUCAUAAUAUAUUUCUGGUCUUUGUGAGAAUCCUUGUGCAACAAGUCGUGCUUUAUAUCUAACGACAAUACCAUGUUUGUUUAUCUUCCACACAAAGAUCCACUUGUAUCCAACUGGUAUAACAUCAUAAGGUGUCCUUAUUAUUUGGACCGAAUACAUCUCUCUUCUUUAAAGAGUUCAACUCCACGUUUAUAGCUUCUUUCCAUUUGAUCCAAUAUGAUCGUUGAGUGCACUCUAAGAUAGACAUGGGUUCAUGAUCCUCAUUCAAAUCCAUAAGUUCAAGUGCUACCUUGUAUGCAAAUAUAUCACCAAUGUCGACAUUCUUUCUGUUCCAUUAUAUCCCAGACAAGACAUAAUUUAUUGAGAUCUCAUUAUUAUUAGGUCCUUCAGUACCUUGAAUCUUGGCGUCCCAAGAAUCAGGAUUAGAUACAUCAGGGCCGGCCGCAUCUAAGCAUUCAUGAUCGGCCGCGAUCGCUAUUAGGGUUUUGGGAUCGGCUGCGACUAAGUCUCGGGAUUUAGGGACAGACCCGGUCGUGUCUAGGGUUUCAACAACCCCGGUUUCAUUAUCUUUGGAACCUAUCUUUGGAACCUAUUUGUAUACCGCGUUUUAAACGUUGUCUAGACUCUGUAGCAAGUUGAUUGUGUCCUUCUUGAACAUCAAUUCUUAUUGGUGCAUUAGCAGCUGGUAUAUAUGCCAAUGUCGACAUUCUUUCUGUUCCAUUAUAUCCCAGACAAGACAUAAUUUAUUGAGAUCUCAUUAUUAUUAGGUCCUUCAGUACCUUGAAUCUUGGCGUCCCAAGAAUCAGGAUUAGAUACAUCAGGGCCGGCCGCAUCUAAGCAUUCAUGAUCGGCCGCGAUCGCUAUUAGGGUUUUGGGAUCGGCUGCGACUAAGUCUCGGGAUUUAGGGACAGACCCGGUCGUGUCUAGGGUUUCAACAACCCCGGUUUCAUUAUCUUUGGAACCUAUCUUUGGAACCUAUUUGUAUACCGCGUUUUAAACGUUGUCUAGACUCUGUAGCAAGUUGAUUGUGUCCUUCUUGAACAUCAAUUCUUAUUGGUGCAUUAGCAGCUGGUAUAUAUGACUUAGUCACUCUUUUCAGGCCAGCAAAGGAAUCUGGCAAUUGAUUUGCUAGCUUUUGUAAAUGUAUUAUCUUUUGGACUUCUAAAUCACAUUCCUGAGUCCGAGGAUUUUGCCAGGAUAAGGAUGUUUGAUUCCAUGUAAUUUCUUUUACCAGUUUACUGCUAUCUCCCCAUAAUGUUGGAUGUUCGGAUUCAUCAAAGUGACAAUCCGCAUACAUGGCCUUAAAUAAAUCACCCAUAGUUGGCUCAAGGUAUUUUAUAAUCGUGGGAGAAUCAUAUCCAACAUAUAUCCCCAUCCUCCUUUGAGGUCCCAUCUUUGUUCUCUGUGGUGGAGCAAUUGGUACAUAGACGACACAGCCAAAUGUCUUAAGAUGGGAUAUGAUUGGCUUAUGACCCGUAAGCAAUUGUGAUGGGGAAUAUUUAUGUUCACUAGACGGUCUGAUACGAAUCAGUUCGGCCGCGUGCAAGACCUCGUGUCCCCAAGUUAUGGCCGAAAGCUUAGACCUCAUAAGCAAUGGUCUAGCUAUUAGCUGAAUUCGUUUUAUGAAUGAUUCGGCCAAGCCGUUCUGUGUAUGUACAUGUGCCACAGAGUGUUCCACACUUACCUCCAUGGACAUACUGUAAUCAUUAAACGCUUGGGAUGUGAACUCACCAGCAUUAUCAAGACGUAUAGUCUUUAAAAGGAUGGCUGUUUGUAUUCAAAAACCGGUCGUGCUAGAGAGUAAAAUUCUCGGUGGCCACUUUAUUAAAUGCGGUAUUGGCCUCCAUCAUACUGACCUUGGCGUAAUAAAGGCCAGUAGAGAGCGUAGGUAUAGACUCUAGGACUUUCUUAUGUCCUUGGCCGAUUUCUAUGAUCUGAAGGAACUCUUUGUUUCCUUCGCCCUUAGUCUCAAAAUGAAAAACAUUCAUUCGAAUGUCUUUAAAGUUCAAUAGGCUUCUCUUAGAGCUGGGUGAAUACAAUGCAUUAGAUAUCUCUAGAUGCGUACCCUUAGGCAACAAGAUGUUAGCCUGGCUGUAGCCCUCUAUGAGACUUUAGAGACUUUUAUAUCAAAAACUUUCAUUUAUCAAUAAAAUAAGUUCAAAGCAAUCAAAACAUAGAAAACACAAAGCAAAGAACACAAAACAUAGAUGUCGAAUUCAACUUCAUUCUUUUAAACAAUCUGCAGUUUCAUAAUCCAUAAGAUCGUCUCGUUCAUGAUUGAAAUCAUGUUCACCAUCUUGAUAAGUCAUAUGAGCUUCAGGAUUCUUCCCUUUCAAACUUUCUUAGUAGAGGUCAACGAGAUGUUUGGGAGUCCUACAUGUCUUAGCCCAAUGAUUAUCCAUACCACAUCUAUGGUACACGGAUUUGGUCGAGUUUUGUGGCUUGAAAGAUGUACCACGGCCUCGGCCAUGUCCACGGCCUCCAUAGGAGCCACAGCCAUUGAAGUCCUGGAUUCUGAGAUUCCUCCAAUCAUACAUAGCCUUUGGUAAUAACACCGUUCUCUGGUGAUCAUAUCUCGUUUUCAACUCUGUCCAAAGGUCUAGAGGAUUCUCAAUAGUCAAAUACUGAUCUUUGAGACUCUCAAUAAGAUGAUGGCGUAUAAUUAAUAUCGCACUGUAUCUAUCUUUCUCACUUGCAUUAUUGCCCUCGGUGAUACAUUCACCGAGUCCCUUGGAUUUUAAGAUGAUCUUAGUAUCAAGUGCCCAUUGCAAGUAAUUAUCUCCAGAGAGAUUUAGGGCAGCAAAAUCCAAGUUGUUGGUUUUCGACAUCUGAAAUCAUAUAUCUCAAUCUGCCCUAAUCAUCCUAGCAAGAACGGUUUCUAAGUGAUCAUGGAAACAUGAAACCUCAAACAAAUAAUCAAGCAAUGCAUCAAGGGAUUAAUUUACUAUCAACCUAACGAUCAUAUUCAAAAUUAAUUAGUCAAUGCAAUUAGGGUUCAAUAUGAACACACUACAAGAAAACAUGUAAUUACCGACUGCAAAAAUAGUCACAAAUCAGUCGUAAAACAUGUGUUUGCGACUAUUUUGCGACUGAAUCGCAUAGUCAGAAUACCACGCGUCGCUAAAACAAUUAGUCGUUAAUCGGUUGCUAUUUUGCGACUGACUAGUGACUGAUUUACGAUUACUGUUAUUAGUCGCAAAACAAUCACAAUUCAGUCGCAAAAUAUUACGACUGAUAUGCAACUAACUGCUAUUUCGUUUACGACUACUCCACGGCUGCUCUUAAGUUGUUAUAUGGUCGAUGUUGUAGUCGUUUUUCGGUCACAAAAUCAAUUAAUAUAUUUUUAAAAAUAUAUAUUUUUUCUUAUUAUUUAAUCAAUUAAAAAAAUUUGAUUAAUCAAUUAAAACACAAAAAUAUGGUUUGCAAUUGAAUUGAUUUACAAUUGAAAUCGGUUUACAAUGAACAAAACAGAAAAAUAAUUAAAUCUAACUAAAAAAAAUUAGAUCUAGGGUUCUUCACGCCAUUUACGGUGGGGCUUCUUCACAGCCAUUGACGGCGGGUCUCCGGAGCUUGAACAGAGGAGGCAAGCUUGAACGGUGAAGAGCCUGAGCCCGAGACGAGAAGACAGACGGUGAGCUUGUGAAGAGGUGAGGAGAGGUGGGAAGAGCUUUACCGUAGACAACGGUGGUCGUCGUCGUCUUUAUGUAGCUUACGCCUCCACUGUAUCUCUGUAGCUUCCGUCAUCUCUGUGUAGAUUUCGUUGUCUCUAUGUACCUUCCGUCGUCGUCUAUUAAUAGCUUGAGCAGAAGUGAGGAGAAGGAUUGAGUAUAAGUGAGGUGGAAAUGAACAGCUUGAGCUUGAAGACGAACACCGGCUUCGGUGCAGAAAGAAGAAAGAAAUAAAGAACAGAGGAGAUAGAGCUGAGAUGGAGAAACAGAGAAGAGAGGACGAAAGAGAGGACAAUGAGUUCUAAGUUGAAGAUGAAAGAGGAAGAAGAUUGCUUUACUCGUGGAAAGGAAGAGAUAUAUGUGAGAGAUGUAGACCAUUGGAUUAAGAAUAAUCAAAGGUGAAGAUUAAAAGAUUGGUUAUCCUCGCCAAUUGGUACUCAACCAAUAGAAAAUAAAAGGAUGGAUUGCUUUUUGUUUUUAUUGCCCUCGGUGAUACAUUCACCGAGUCCCUUGGAUUUUAAGAUGAUCUUAGUAUCAAGUGCCCAUUGCAAGUAAUUAUCUCCAGAGAGAUUUAGGGCAGCAAAAUCCAAGUUGUUGGUUUUCGACAUCUGAAAUCAUAUAUCUCAAUCUGCCCUAAUCAUCCUAGCAAGAACGGUUUCUAAGUGAUCAUGGAAACAUGAAACCUCAAACAAAUAAUCAAGCAAUGCAUCAAGGGAUUAAUUUACUAUCAACCUAACGAUCAUAUUCAAAAUUAAUUAGUCAAUGCAAUUAGGGUUCAAUAUGAACACACUACAAGAAAACAUGUAAUUACCGACUGCAAAAAUAGUCACAAAUCAGUCGUAAAACAUGUGUUUGCGACUAUUUUGCGACUGAAUCGCAUAGUCGGAAUACCACGCGUCGCUAAAACAAUUAGUCGUUAAUCGGUUGCUAUUUUGCAACUGACUAGCGACUAAUUUAAGAUUACUGUUAUUAGUCGCAAAACAGUCACAAUUCAGUCGCAAAAUAUUACGACUGAUAUGCAACUAACUGCUAUUUCGUUUACGACUACUCCACAGCUGCUCUUAAGUUGUUAUAUGGUCGAUGUCGUAGUCGUUUUUCAGUCACAAAAUCAAUUAAUAUAUUUUUUAAAAAAUAUAUUUUUUCUUAUUAUUUAAUCAAUUAAAAAAUUUUGAUUAAUCAAUUAAAACACAAAAAUAUGGUUUGCAAUUGAAUUGAUUUACAAUUGAAAUCGGUUUACAAUGAACAAAACAGAAAAAUAAUUAAAUCUAACUAAAAAAAAUUAGAUCUAGGGUUCUUCACGCCAUUUACGGUGGGGCUUCUUCACAGCCAUUGACGGCGGGUCUCCGGAGCUUGAACAGAGGAGGCAAGCUUGAACGGUGAAGAGCCUGAGCCCGAGACGAGAAGACAGACGGUGAGCUUGUGAAGAGGUGAGGAGAGGUGGGAAGAGCUUUACCGUAGACAACGGUGGUGGUCGUCGUCUUUAUGUAGCUUCCGCCUCCACUUUAUCUCUGUAGCUUCCGUCGUCUCUGUGUAGAUUUCGUUGUCUCUAUGUACCUUCCGUCGUCGUCUAUUAAUAGCUUGAGCAGAAGUGAGGAGAAGGAUUGAGUAUAAGUGAGGUGGAAAUGAACAGCUUGAGCUUGAAGACGAACACCGGCUUCGGUGCAGAAAGAAGAAAGAAAUAAAGAACAGAGGAGAUAGAGCUGAGAUGGAGAAACAGAGAAGAGAGGACGAAAGAGAGGACAAUGAGUUCUAAGUUGAAGAUGAAAGAGGAAGAAGAUUGCUUUACUCGUGGAAAGGAAGAGAUAUAUGUGAGAGAUGUAGACCAUUGGAUUAAGAAUAAUCAAAGGUGAAGAUUAAAAGAUUGGUUAUCCUCGCCAAUUGGUACUCAACCAAUAGAAAAUAAAAGGAUGGAUUGCUCUUUGUUUCGGAAGAAAAGAAACACACACAAAAAUAAAUGAAUCUAGACCAUUAGAUUUAAGCAAUUUAAGAUAAUCAACGAUUGAGAUAGUAUCCCUUAAUUAGUGUAUUGACCAAUAUAAAAAGAGAAGAAAUUUUUUUUUAAGAGAAGAGAUUAUUGAUUAUAUUUGUGUAGGGUUUGAAGUUUUGGAGUUUUGACUUGAAAAAUAUAUUUUUAUAGGUCUUAGUUUUAACUUAAGAUUAAGUGUAUAAAUAGUAGAUACAUUUUGGUUAAUUUUUUUUAAGUUUGUGAUUUUAUGUUUGGAGUUUUGAUUAAAAGUUAUGAUACAGGGUUUGAGGGUUAAAUUUAAAGUUUGGAAUAGUAUAGUUGAAACUAAUAAAAUUUUCUUCUCCAUUUAUAUACAGUUUGUUUAGAAAUUUUCUAAAUUUAAAGUAUUAGAUAUCAAAUUUAACAUUUGUAAAAUAUAUGUUUAAGAUUUGGUGUUCAAAUUUUAAGAUAGAGUUGUUUGGGUUUAGAUUUGGGUAUAAGGUAAAUUAUAAAAAAAAAAGCCUAAGAUUAAUUUAUAGUAUUUGGAGUUUAAUUUUAAAUUUAAUGUAUAUAGCAUAUACGAGGUUUAUAUUUUGAUUAUAUCAUUUAAAAAGUAUUUAAAGUUUAAGUUUAAUUUAAAUGAUAAGAUUGAAAAGAUUAGAUUUUAUAAUGUUAUAUGCAGGUUUAAAUUUGGGGUUUAGGGUAUAGAUGUUAAGAUAAGAGUUUAGGGUAUAGGUAUGCAGUCGCAAAACAGUCGCUAAUUUUACGACUGUUUUGCGACUACCUACUGUGAUCGACAUCUAUAGUCGUAAAAAAAUCGCAAAAUUAGCGACUGUUUUGCGACUACGCAUUCUAUACCCUAUGUGGAGUAUGUAGUCGCAAAUCAGUCGUUAUUUUACGACUGUUUUACGACUACAGUUGCCGACAACAUUAAAUGGUCGCACAACAGUCGCUAAUUACCAACUGAUUUGCGACUGAUUUGUUUAGUCGCACAUUAGCGACUGAUUUACGACUAACGUAUUUUAGUCACAAAUCAGUCUCAAAACAGUCGCAAUCCUGUCGCAAUAUUUUGCGACUGCACGAUCAGUCGCAACAUGCAGUCGGUAAAUUCAUGUUUUCUUGUAGUGAUAAGGUUCAAUCAGUUCAUGUUUUCUUGUAGUGACAAGCAGGUUGGAUUCAAGUCUUAAAACAAGAUGAGAACUAAUCAACUUAAGCGAUUUCUAUCUUAAGACAAUAUUCAAUUAGUUCAUCAAUUCAAACAACCAAAUUCAAGUAUGAGAUUAAACAAUCCUAGCAAUCGGUUCUAUGUGAUCAAAUUUAAAUUUAAAACAUUCAAUCACAUAAACAAUCGAAUCAAAUUUUGAUUUCGAAUUAGGGUUUGCAUGGUAUGCAUGCGGCUAGGCUUUAGGGAAUUAUGGUUUGGAUUUUAAUCAAGCAAUAAGAUUCAAUUUAGGUUAUUAGGGAUUGGAUCUAUUGCCUUAGGGUUUGGUUCUUAGGUUUUAUUUUUACCUAAACCUCAAGUCGGGUUGAAUGGACCUCCAACUAGAGAAGAACGCGAGCUGAUCGUUGCUGUCGGGUCGCGAACGGGUUGUUGUCUGUCGCUAACUGAUUGAAGCUGAGACGGGUCGCGAUCGUGCUGGCUAUCGAGCUGAGUCGCGAAUUGGAGAACGGACUGAGGUCGUGUGCUGAGAUCGGGAACGCCUUGAGUAUGGAGUUUUAGGUUCUCGAUCAGAUUAGGGUUCGUCGCCGGGUUUAGGGUUUAUCACCGGCUAGGUUUUAGGGUUUGAGUCUCGAGACUUUAGUUUAGGGUUCUUAGAGUAAUCGUGCUGAUAACGUGUUGUGAAACAAGAUAAUAGAAUCUGUAUGUUUCUGUAUUAUUCAUAAACAUAAAAAGUCUUUUAUAUAUAGGGAAUUACACUGUCAUACAAUAAUGGAAAGACUAAAGAAAAGAAAUACAAAUAUGAAAAGAGUACAAAUCAUAAUCUAAUAAGGAAAAAUGCAAGAUCUAAUAAAGAAAAAGGCAAGAUACCGAUUCCCUCUCUCUAGCAUUGGACCGGUUAUGAACCGGAUGGGUUAUAAACAUAACAAUAUAAUUUAUAACAAUCCGUAUAUUCGUAACUUUCCUUACCUACAAAAAAAAAACUUAGGGAAUUUGCAAACUUAUCCACUAAGUAUAUAAAUAAAUAUUGAAAGCUGCAUCGAACGAGUCACAACGAAUAUAUCGUCGUCGUAAAACUAAAAGCUAUUUGAACUUCGAAUGACUAAAAAUCCUCGCUCGAUUCUAAAGAAAAUUCCCAUGGUUCGAUUCAGUUUCAGUUCUCAUGUCCGAAGACGAACAAGUUCUCUGUUUUUGUAAUCGAAAGUUCCGCUCUUUUUCUUCUUUUUUUCCUCGUUAGGGUUCUCUCUGUUCUGCUCGAUAAGGUAAUUGUGAGUUUCGUAUACUCUGUUCUGGGUUUUAGAUUUGACUCUGUUACUGAGUCUGAUUUGAUCAUAGAUUCAUAGAGUAUUCUGUUUUUUUUUUUCACUGGAGAUUUUGUUCUGUUAUUGAUCUUUGUUUGAUAGUGAGUGUGACAUUUAAAAGUAUUCAACUUUGAUUCCCAGGAACAGUGUUCUCAAAGAUGAACAGGAGUAGCAACUCCGAAGGUGCCAAAGCAGAGCAGAUCAUAUUCGAGUUCUUCGCUAAAACCCUCCACAUCAUCCUCGAAUCAAGGACUCCUUUCAUGUCUUCAAGAAACUUCAGUAGUAUCGGCGAGCAGAUGAUCUGCUCACCUUCCUCAUCUUCCUCGUCUUCCUCCAGCGUCAGGCCUCGUGACAAAUGGUUCAACUUAGCUCUCAGGGAGUGUCCUGCAGCCUUGGAGAGCUUCGACAUCGGCCGCAGAAGCACGCUAGAGACUUUGGUUGUCGAUGUGGUUCUUGUGGCGAGACCAUUUGAUCAGAUGAAUUCUCAAGGUGGAAGAGAGCUUAUCUGGAACUUCUCCGGGAAAGAUGAUUGUGAAACCAAGAACGAGCAGAUCAUUGAGAGAUGGGUUGUGCAGUAUGAUAAUAGGAAGGUUAGGGAAAGGAGGUCAAGUAGUAGUAAUAAUAAUAAGCUGAAAGUGAUGUAUAAGAAAGCAACUUUGCUUCUGAGAUCACUCUUUGUGAUGGUUAGGCUUUUACCUGCUUACAAGAUCUUCAGAGAACUUAACUCCUCUGGACAGAUCUUCAAGUUCAAGCUUGUCCCUAAGGUUCCAACCAUAGUUGAGCCAUUUACUCGUAGAGAAGAAGCAGAGAUGCACAAGUUUGCUUUCACACCGGUUGAUACCAUCUGCGGUAGGCUUUGCAUGUCGGUGUUGUAUCGAUCUCUCUCGGAUGUCAGUUGCAGCCAACACUCAGCUCCUGUGUCUCCGACGUUUAUCACCGAUUACGUUGGAAGUCCCUUGGCUGAUCCUUUGAAAAGUUUCCCUUCUCUGCCUCUUUCUUAUGGUUCGCCGCCGUUGAUGUCGUUUCAGAGGCGUCAUAGCUGGAGUUUUGAUAGGUACAAGGCCUCUCCACCUUCGGUCUCUUGCUCACCGUCGCCUACACGGUCUGAUUCACAAACGUUGGUUACUAAUCCUUGUUCUCGUUGCCUUCCUCCUCAUCCUUGUCAAGAUUUUUCUCCUCCUUGUUCUCCUUCAGCACAUGCACAAGCCUUCCCAAGAAGCAUCACGCGUACUGAAAGUGCUCCAGUUAGGAUUCCAGCUCCUAGUUUUGAGUCUAAACAGAACGUGGUGGUGGCACCUUCUUCUCAUUUAAAGUUGUCGAGACAUGCUUCUUUGAAGCCUGUGAGAAACACUGCUCCUGUUGAAUCUGGAGCAGCGUUGGAGAAGGUAAACUUAACUCCACAUGUCUUAAAUUUUCUCUUCUUUUUUUUUUGUUUCAUUAUGUGAUUGAGCGAGUAAGAUCCUAUUGUAUUUUUUCUCUUUUAGAUGCAUAUCUAUGGUAGGGAAGACUUUAGGAGGAACUCUGGGGUGAAGCUAUCUUCCAACAGCUCACCGAGGAUAUCAUUUUCUAGAAGUUCAAGUAGAUCAUACCAAGAUGGUUUUGAUGAUACUGAUUUUCCUUGUCCAUUUGAUGUUGAGUAUGACGAAAUUACAGAUUCUAGUAGUAGCAGGUAUGAGUCUUUAUCUAACAACUGAAGCACACAGUCUCUCUGUUCCUUUGGAUCUCUUUGUAGCUACUAGCUUCGAAAGUAGUAAUUUUGCUAAGCCUGGCUCCAUUUAUCCGUUCGACUUAAGAAGCUGUUCCAUGUACUUCUCUGAUUUGAGAUUUUGAAGUUAUUAGCCAUUAGACCCAAAUAAUUAACUAUAAUACUUCUCUAUCCACGUAGCUAGCGUUCAUCAGUUAUUGGCGUAUUCUUUGACAUUAUAGAUGGAAUACAGUCUAUAGUAGAGAAACCAGAGAAACCGUUUAGGCUUAAGCUAAUAUCAUGUUUCAUCAUCUAUCUGGUUUAUCAUUAACUCCCCAACAGAUUGGUCUUUUGUUUAAUAUAAUCACUGGGAAUGGUUCUCCUCUCUGAUUCACUUCUUGACUGUUGUUUUUGGAACUGCGAUUAUAUGUUUCUCGAAUAGAACUGAUUUUUGCUUUAUUGUUGACUUAUUUCAGACCAGGCUCCUUGGACCAGAGGAGUGAUAUACAUGAACCACCACCAUUUGAGUCGAGCGGUUCGUACCCAAAAAAGUCACAAGAUGCAGCAGUCGGUGCUCUAGUGAAUAUGCUGAAGAAAGCUCCACCUCUCAGACAAGACGUCUCUGAAACUUCCAUACCUGAACUUUGUUGGAAGAACAACAAGAACAAACCUGGAGGGGGUCAGAAGAUAGCAACGGCGUCAAUGACAGCGUCAGGGAUAGCUCUGGCGGCAAAGACAACAGCUGACGCGUUGGAAGAGCUGAGGUCUUACAAAGAAAUGAAGAAUGUGUUGCUUAGCGAAUCCACAAAGGAUUUGUCCUCACCCUUUGCUGUUUCAGAAUCUUGAUACUUUUUUUGGUUAGUUUGGGUAUUGGUUUUUUGGUUUGGUUUGUUUGGUUUUGAUUUUACAUAAUGUGCCUAUGUACUAAGCUCUCGAACCGUAUCCAUGUAAAUAAACUUUUACCAAAGAAAACAAUGUAAAUAAAUUGUAAACCUUUUUUUUAUCACACGUAUAAAUAAUUAAUUAGAUUACAUCUACAUAAAAAAAAAAUUUUGUUAGACAUCUACAUAAUUAAUCAGUGUAAACAAAAUUUUUAAUAGAAUUACUGUAUAUUAGAAGAAAAAAAUGUUUAUUUACAUGGGAGAAAACUCGGUGUUCCAUCAUUAUUAUUCUUUCUUGCCUGAGUGAUACGGUGCCGUUUAAGAACCUUGGGCGAAUCUAGGAAGAAUAAAACCCUAAAUAAUGUAAACCGGACCAAAUCUGAUAUUGUCUGUGUUCACUCUCUCGUCGGAAGGAAGGAAGGAAGAAGGAGAAGAUCUGGAAAAUGCCGCUGUACGACUGUAUGCUUCUGUUCAAGCCAGUAAUCAGGAAGGAAGGUCUGAUCGAUCUGGUUGCUCGCAUCGGGAAACACGUUUACAGCAAAAAUGGAGUUCUCACGGAGGUCAAAUCCUUCGGCAAGGUCGAAUUGGGUUACGGUAUCAAAAAGCUCGACGGUAGACACUAUCAGGUAAAACGCAGUGUUUCCAUUCCUCUUCAGGUUUCUUGUUGAAUCGAUGGUUAUAUAGAGUUUCAUUUCAGUGCUUGCGCAUUAGGGUUUAGAUUGGCAUUUCGGAAUAUGAUACUUAUUAGCUUUAAGUUGAAUUCUUGAAGCAACCUCUUCCGAUUGUGAACAUUUGGUCAAUAGUUGUACUAGUAGCAUAUGCUUGCUGAGUAUCAGCACAAGCUUUAAGCAUCAUCAGUCUCCUGUUUCUCUCUAAUAGAAUAUUCGUACUGAAGAUGCAUCUUCUUUGUUAGCUUCUUCUCUCGCUAAUUCUUGCAUUUGAGUGUGUAAUAUGUAAUAAUGUAAUUAUGUAUUGGGUGAAUGGCGUGCAGGGACAAUUGAUGCAGAUAACAAUGAUGGCAACUCCAAACAUUAACAAGGAGCUUCACUACCUUAACAAGGAAGACAAGCUCCUCCGCUGGCUCCUUGUUAAACACCGUGACAUCAAGAUUGGUUCAUCCGAGAUGGAAGACCGUCUGGACGAGUCUAACAGAGUUACUAAUAGGAGCUUGUAUGAUGAGUCUUCUACGGACGAAGACGACGAUGUCUUAGGCUUAUCUCGAUGAUGAGAAUAAUGAAAUCGUUUUACUUUUUGAAAAAAUAUGUUACUCAGACCACCAGAGUGUCCUUCAUCUUUAUCUUGUGGCUUGUUGACUUGGUGUUGUUUUGCUCCUCAGACAAAGAAAUAAGAUAUUCAUGUAAUGGUUUUAGGCAGAAAAAAAUAAAGGAAAAACUGAGACGGUGGUCCUUCGUGAAACAAACACUCCUAGUGUUUCUUUAUGUCAUUUUUAAUUUGAAGUUAAACUGAAGUGUUACUAUGUUACUAACAGCAACCCCAUGUUCAUUUGGGAUGUAUGUGUUAGGAGAUCUUAGACAUUUACCAUACUGCCAAUGCAUGAAGGUUAAUAAGACCCUGUUUCACUCUCCGAUAAUCUAUGAUCAAAUUCAGGACCCAGAGUUAAAGCAGUUUAUUCAGAAAUGGUUAUCGGCAAGGGAGCUUCUAUUGAACCCCUUUCUUCAACUCUCUUGCCACAUUGUAUUUGUUAUGCCCAAAGAAGGUGCGAAUGGAGGACGUUGCCUUGCGUCGGAAGGCCAACCUACAACACAUAGUAGACCCAUUGUCUAUAGACCUAGAAGAAGACGAUAACCUGCCGAUUGUUAGUUUUAGCGACGACUCAGGAUCCAUGUGUAAUGAGGUUGAGGGGAUUCUUUGUCCUAAAGGUGUAAGAAACAAUGAACAGUCUGUAUUUCUAAUUCUUCGUAUAGUGGACGAGAAUGGUGAACGUUUUGGUUCAGCUCCAGUUACAUAUCCAAUAGUUUCAUUCUUUGAGACAUAGGAGCUUUUAUAUUUUCAGCAGCUCAAAAAGAUUCCAUAGUGUUAUUUAUGACCAAUAUAACACCAUGUAUAUCUAAAGUUUUGACUAAUAGAACAUCAUGUUUAAACCAGCUCACGAAGAUUCCAACAGCUCAGUGCUGACCAAUAGAACAUCAUGUUUACCUAAAGUUUUUCUAGGUGUUUAUGUUUCAGUCAUGCCAAUAUAGUUAAACAACAAUGGUUUUCUAGGUGUGUAUGUUUCAGUCAUGCCAAAUAUAGUUAAACAACAAUGGUUUAAGUUAAGUAAACUUGGGUUGAACAUUAUGAAUUAGUGCAAGCGUUCAGAAAAAAAAAAAACCUAGAAUAAGACUUUCAUUCAUGCAAAAUGGAUCCAAGAGACGAAAGUGUAAUUAAGUUUAGAAACCAAACAUGAUGUCUUCCAAGAACACAUUCCAUAAAGCAGACAAAACAUGGCAAACUCAUAACAAAUCGACCUAAAUCGACAAUCACUGGUCUCCAGGAAGCGACUUGAUGAUGUCGGAAUCACCUGGAUCAACGAUGCUGAGACAUGAAACACGGAAGUACUUUCCACAAGCAGUUCCCAAAUCGACAUUGUUGCCAUUGUAGUGAUGAACACCAACUUUAGCAAGCAUGGCGUAGUACUCAAUCUCUGAUCUCCUCAACGGAGGGCAGUUGCUAGAGAUGAGAAUCAACUUACCUAACACAACAUAUCGAAACAAAACCCUCUUAACCACUAUUCAACAGAGCUAUGACCUAAGACGAAACGAUCAAAAAGUUUUGUUCUUUACCUUUGGAGCUGCGAAGGGACUUGAGAACGGAUUUGUACCCAAGAGUGUACUUUCCACUCUUCAUGACAAGAGCUAGUCUGCUGUUGAUUCCCUCAUGGGACUUCUUCGUCUUCUUCGCCGCCACCAUCUUCUAAUCGCCGUGAAGUGUCGCUGAUCGCCGGAUUUACAGGAAGAGUCCUUUCGGGGUGAGCGGCGCAAAAUGAUAAAUUAAAUAGAGUGACGAUGGAACCCUAAGGGUUUUCUUUUAUUUAUUUUCGUCAAGAUACAGGCUCACGGCCCAACAUAAUCCCAGCCCACGGCCCACUAAUUCAGGCCUUUAGGGUAACUUUUACCUUUUGGCGGGAGUUUUUGGGAUUUGAUGGCACCAAAAUUUUUUAGCGAAAUGAUCAAAUCAAUAAUUCGAGAAAUCUGAAAUUCGAAGGAUAAAAAAAAAACCUUUCGUCGGAGAAAGUAGAGAGGAUUACUCAUCGAAUCGUUCAUGGGCCGAUUAGAUUUAGCGGCGGCGAAGAGAGCUUACCGGACAGCGACGGAAGUAGGUAACCGGAGCGAAGAGGCGAGAUGGGCCAAUAACGUCGGCGAUAUCCUCAAAAACGAAGGAGAGUACGUGGAGGCUCUCAAGUGGUUUCGAAUCGAUUACGAUAUCUCCGUCAAGUAUUUGCCCGGGAAGGAUCUGCUGCCUACGUGUCAGUCUCUCGGCGAGAUCUAUCUCCGUCUCCAGGACUUCGAAGAAGCCUUGAUCUAUCAGGUAACACGCCUCUGAUUUAAAAAAAAAUAAUAAUAAUAACCGACUUAUCGAAGAAGCUUUGACCGAGUUUGACUUUUCUAACUGUUUUUUUUUUUGUGUGUGGUUGUUGCAGAAGAAGCAUUUGCAGCUAGCUGAAGAGAACAACGACACCGUGGAGAAGCAACGAGCUUGUACUCAGCUCGGCCGUACCUACCAUGAGAUAUUCUUGAAAUCUGAGGACGAUUGCGACGCGAUUCAGAGUGCUAAGAAGUACUUCAAGAAAGCCAUGGAGCUUGCACAGGCUCUCAAGGAGAAACCGCCUCCUGGAGAAUCUGGAAGCUUUCUUGAGGAGUAUAUCAACGCGCAUAACAACAUCGGUAUGCUUGACCUUGAUCUUGAUAAUCCCGAUGCUGCUUGUAAGAUUCUCAUGAAAGGACUGAGGAUUUGCGAUGAAGAGGAGGUUAAGGAGUAUGAUGCUAUGCGUAGUAGGCUUCAUCAUAACCUUGGGAACGUUUAUCUGGAGCUGAGGAGUUGGAAAGAGGCUAAAGAGCAUAUCAAGAUGGAUAUCAAGAUCUGCCAUCAGAUAAGUCACUGCCAAGGAGAAGCUAAGGGGUAUAUCAAUCUUGCUGAGUUGCACAACAGGACGCAAAACUACGGGGAUGCGCUUAUGUGUUAUGGUAAAGCUUCUACUCUAGCGAAAUCUAUGCAAGACGAGAGUGCGUUGGUUGAACAGAUAGAGCAGAAUAUCAAGAUUGUGAAGAAAGCCGUUAAAGUUAUGGAAGAGAUGAGGGAAGAAGAGCGUAGGCUUAGGAAGUUGUCUGCUGAAAUGGCUGAUGCCAAAGGCACUUCGGAGGAACGGAAGUCUAUGCUUCUAGUGCAUGCGUGUCUUGAACGUCUCAUUGAAAAAUCCAGCAUGGUAUUUGCAUGGGAUAAGGUUAGUUUAUUUCUUAAGCACUUUCUUGUUUUUAAGAACAAUUAAUACCAUGUCUGCAUGUGUUUGAAAUGUUUCCAAAAGUUAGUGUUGAUCAUCUUAGGGAGCUUCAAUCAUAAAUAAGAGUUGUUAGAUCUUUAGAUAUCAUAGGGUACUAUGGAGUAAGACAGUUAUGUUCAUUUCUUAGAAAAAAUCGGGUUUUGUUGAAUUCUGUUGAUGACAUUGUCUUGUCAGAUCAGUCAAAAAGACUAUUAUCCAAGAAUUGCUUGAUUUUUCUUCUCUCCAGAAAACAUAUCUUUUAGAAAGUUAGUCCUCGGAUUUAAAUUUUUAUUUCAUUACUUUUAAACGAAGUCAAUAUGUUAGACCAAAGUGGCAAAACUAUACUUGUUCUGUACCAAACGGAUAUUGAGCUAUCAAUGAUCCAAGUCUAUAACCACUGUUCUAAUGACUUGUAAUAUAGUUUAAGUUGGAAGCUGACAUUUAAUUUUUCUUCCAACUAAGGGUUUCACUUUCUUCUUUGAAUGUCGUAGCAUCUUGAAUAUUCAAAAAGGAAGAAGAAAAUAUCAGCUGAACUCUGUGACAAGGAAAAGCUGAGUGAUGCCUACUUGGUUGUUGGAGAGUCCUAUCAAAAGCUUAGAAAAUUCAGAAAAUCCCUGAAGUGGGUCGCAAGAAGUUAUGAGGGAUACAAAGCAAUUAGUAAUUUCGAGGUGAGAUUUUGUUUGCUUGUUACGGUUAGUUAUUAAAAUUUAUAUUUCAUUUUUAAAUCUAAAUCACAACAAUAUAAUUCACUGAUGAGGCCUCUCACAUGGUUUGGGUAAAAGGAACACUGAUAAUACUAUUUUUGGAUUUUUCAUAUCGUAGCUUUUCGUCUUUAUUGACUCUAAUGCUCACUUAUGUUGGCAUCUUUUAGGGACAAGCAUUGGCGAAAAUUAAUAUAGGUGAUGGUUUGGACUGUAUUGGUGAAUGGACACAAGCACUCAAAGAAUUUGAAAAGGGAUACAGGUAGGUCCAUUAUCAAAUUGUGCAUUUGAGCUACUGAGUAUCCUAUUAUUUGUGAUUUUAUCCAAAUACAUGGAUCUACUUAUUAAUCUCUUUUAGAAAAUUGACAAUUCUAUUGCAUAGCAUUACCCUGUGAUGAAGGAAGGUUUAAUAGCUUAGCAAACACGAAUCUAUUAUAAUUCAAAUACGUCCAAGAAUUACUGCACUAGAGCUUAUGAAUAAGUGUUUUGAGUCAGUAGUUUUCAUUAUCACUGUCGAAAUCCACGCAUGCAUACCUCGCUCAUGCUAAUGAGUCAGUGAUGGUCGUUUUGGAUCUAAUUUCAUCUGAUCCUGCAGAAUUGCUUUGAAAGCCAAUCUUCCUUCAGUUCAGCUUUCUGCACUGGAACAUAUGCAUUAUAGCCAUAUGAUCAGAUUUGGGAAUGCUAAAGAAGCCAGGUAAUCUUUAUCUGGAGUCAUAUAAAUCUGAAGUUGGAUAGAAAUAUAAAUCUGCUGCAAGGUUUGCAGGGCUGCAACUAGGCUUGUGGUUUUGAAUUUACAGUUUCUCAUAUACAUAUUUUACUGUUUAGGGAGUUGAAGGAAAAAAUACAAAAUCUGGAGUCAGAACAUGGUGAGAGAGCAGAAUGUGGUACAGAAGAUGAAUGCUCUGAAACCGACUCAGAAGGGCAUGGGUACAUAUCAAAUGAUAGGCCAAAUGCAUGUAGUUCGCCAGAUCUCCAAACAUCAAAUUCACCUGAAUCAGAACCGUUAGCAGAUUUUAAUGAAGCAAGUGAUGACGUGCCACUAAGUUCAUUUCUCCCGCCUGGUAGACGUCUUUCCAAAAGGAAACAGUUUUCAGGAAAACAAGAUGCUGAGACUGAUCAGGCCAAGAACGAUUGCUCUGCACCAGCAGACUCUCAGCAGACAGUCUCUGGUCGGAAGCGUAUUCGUGUAAUCCUCUCUGACGAUGAAAGUGAAACCGAAUAUGAGUUGGGAUGCCCCAGACGCAGUUUUCACAAAGUUACAAGUCAGCGUAAGGAAGUCUCUGAUGAAAGUAUGUAUUUUGAUGGCGCUGUUAAUUGUACGGAUAAUCCUGCUAUUCAAGACCAUGUAGAAGAAGGUUCUUGCUCGUUUACGUCUCUCCGUCCCACUAAAGCUGCUCCAGAUGCCAACAAUUGCAGACCUCUGACCAAUACUAAAGCUGUUGAACCAACUGGUUGCGGUAUAAAAGGAUCUCAAUGUGAAGCUGGCGAAUCCAACAGCACGCAAUGCAAACAUGGAUCUGCUCUCGUGAACUUCCACACUUAUUCCAAGACAGAUGAUGUGAGAUUUUUUUUACCUUGCUUUUGGUUAUCAUUAACUAAUCUUGAUUGGAUUGUUUUUUUUUUCUAACCUAUGCUUCCUCUUUCCUUCUCCCUAAUAACUAUAUUUUACCUGUUGCAGCAAAAAAUUGAAAUUGAAAUUGAAAAUGUACACAUGGCUUUAGACUCGUGUUCUGGCAAUGAUGAGUCUGUGAAGGUGGAACUUACUUGCUUGUACUAUUUACAGCUUCCUGAUGACGAGAAAUCUAAAGGUAUGUGAACUUAUUGAUUCACAGCUAACGUAUGGAACUCGUCUCAUGCUUUAUAGUUUAUGUUUUACAGCACUUUAACUUCACUGCUCCUAAAGCUGUUUAAAUCUUUGAACGUUCAAUAUGUUUUUCAUUAGGUCUGUUGCCUAUCAUUCAUCAUUUGGAGUAUGGUGGUAGAGUUUUGAAACCAUCGGAUUUAUAUGAGGUUCUCUCGGGCUCUUCUGAAAACGUUGUUAUUGAAGCUUCCGUUAGUGGUAAGUAUUUUCUUGGUACACAUGGGAUCUACAUGUGAUAUUUGGAAUGUGAUUGUCAAGCUGAUCUUACUAGUUAUAUUUUUCAUCUCAAAUUGUUCUUUAAGUUUUUACAUGAGUGUGGCUAUCAGUGUGUCAGAAUGUGAACUGCAAGAUGUAUCAGCUGCUCCUUUAUUGCGUGCCCUCGAUGUGCAUAACACAGUUGCAAUGUUGGAUCUCUCCCACAAUAUGCUAGGUGAAAGUUGCCUCUAACGUCUUACCUUACACAUUUAUUGUACAGUGUUAAACUUCUAGUUUGCGAACGGAAGUAAGUUGGUUUAACUGAUAAGGAACUACUAGGAAAUUUAAUGGUACUUAUUUUUCAUCAUCUUAUUGGUUGCUAGGGAAUGGAACAAUGGAGAAACUGAAACAACUUUUUGCCUCAUCAAACCAGAUGUAUGGUGCUUUAACUUUGGAUUUGCACUGCAAUCGAUUUGGUCCAACUGCUUUGUUUCAGGUAACCGAAUAGGCUCAAAAACUAGAAAGUUUCACAUAUUCGUGUUUUUUCUUAUUGUUAAAUAUAAUCCACUUUACCAGAUCUGCGAAUGCCCUGUUCUGUUCACUCGGCUGGAAGUCCUCAAUGUGUCCAGUAAUCGACUUACUGAUGCUUGUGGAUCAUACCUCUCAACCAUCUUGAAAAACUGUCGGGGUAUAGUUUCUUAAAAGAUUGCCUGUCAUCUAUAGUAUCUAAUUGUUCAGUUAGCAUCUUUUGUUUCUUGGUUUUACUGGUGACUAAUAAACCUGCUAGAUAUAUGAGAUCCCUCCUAAUCUUAGACUAAUAUUUUCGACUCUUAUCUUCCACCAUUCACGCAUUUAUGCUAAAGUGUCCCCAUUUGUUGUUUAGCACUUUACAGCUUGAAUGUGGAAAAGUGUUCACUCACAUCUAGAACAAUCCAAAAGAUUGCUGAUGCUUUGGAUCCGGAGUCGGGACUUUCACAACUCUAUAUAGGUAGACUUUCAAUUUUGUCGUUUACAUCCAUUUUAUUUCUCUCGUUUCAGCUAAGCUAAAGAUAGUAUAUCCCUACUUGUAUGGCAGGUUAUAAUAAUCCUAUUUCAGGGGGUGCCAUUCAAAACCUCUUGGCUAAAAUAGCUACUCUAAGCAGGUUGAGAUAAAAAAAAUAGAGCUGUAUUUUUGUUAACUUUUCAAGUUACGUAAAUCGAUCUGACACUAUCAUAUGUUAAAACAAUGCAGCUUUACAGAACUGAGCAUGAAUGGCAUAAAGCUGAGCAGCCAAGUUGUUAGUAGCCUCUCCGCACUUGUUAAGACUCCAUCUUUAUCAAAACUUUUGGUUGGCAGCAGUGGCAUUGGAACGGUAAUGAAUUUUCUUAUAUUGUGGUUAAAUGCAUUCGUUUUCAUCUGACAAUGCUAUCCAAAUUAUUCUAGGACGGAGCUAUCAAAAUCACUGAAGCUCUAUGCUAUCAAAAGGAAGAAACUGUUAAGCUCGACCUUUCAUCUUGUGGACUAGCGUCUCCUUUCUUUCUUAAGCUCAUCCAAGAUGUUACUCUAACUUCUAGCAUUCUUGAGCUCAAUGUUGGAGGAAAUCUAAUCACUGAAGAGGUAUGUUUUCUAUGACCUCAACACCCUGAAGCUCUUAUCUCUAAACUAUUUUGAGGCUGAUAUGGAAAGAAUUUUGCAAUCAGUUGAACUCGUGAUUUUGUUGUCAUUUCAAUGUAAAAUUAUGUGUUCUUAGAUCAUGACUGACCCUCUGAAACAAUAUACAAAACAGGGAGUUAGUGCACUGGGGAUGCUGCUUGCGAACCCUUGUUCUAACAUAAAAGUUCUGAUUUUAAACAAGUGUCAUCUGAAGCUCUCUGAAAUUCUAUGCAUAAUUCAAGCACUUUCAGGUCUGAAAUAUUAUUUACCCUGCAUCUCUUGUUGUAGCUACGAUUAUACCAAAAAUCUUCUCAUUUGCAAACUAUCAACUAAACAUUUUGCAGAUAAUAAGAAUCUCGAAGAGCUUAAUAUCUCUGAGAAUGCUAAAAUGGAUGAGACUCUGUUUGGCGAGCCUGUGAGUGGAAGCUCAGAAAUGGAACAGAAAGAACAUGGUACAUGUGAAUCCAUCACCGUAAUGGACAAAACUCACAGUGAACAUUGUUGGCAGAACCAAGACAAAGAACAAGAGUUAUGUGAAGCCAAUAUGGAGUGUGGUGAUGGUCUUGAAGUUGCAGACAGCGAAGAUGAGCAAAUAGAGGAACAAACUGCAACGUCGAGUAGUCUUAGUUUACCACGCAAGAACCAUAUUAUCAAAGAGCUUUCGACCGCGCUUGCAGUGGCUAACCAAUUGCAGAUUCUAGAUCUAAGCCACAAUGGGUUGUCAGUUGAAGCCUUGGAAACAUUAUACAUGGCAUGGUCAUCAUCAGGAUCGCGAGCUGGCAUAGCCCAAAGACAUGUGAAAGAUGAGAUUGUCCAUUUUUGCGUUGAAGGAAAGAUGUGUUGUGGAGUCAAUCCAUGCUGCAGAAAGGAUUAAACAUAUUCCUUUCUCUGCUUAUACAAAGCCUCCCACUGUUCUUGUGGUGCAAAAGCUUUGUUAGAGUUAAAGAUCUAAAUUAUCACCUUGUUUUAAUUUUUGAUAAAUAUUGUAAAAUUAAGAAAAAUGUGGUGAAUAUUAAAAGUGAUAUGAUAAUGAAAAUUUGAGAAGGUACAUUUACAUACGUGUAUUUGUAAUUUUGAAAUCGAUUGCGGAAUUUUCGGAUAUAAAUCAAAUUAUUCAUACUAUUUAGCGUGUGAUACCAUUAUUCCCAUCAUAUCUUAUGAAUCAUGCGGUGUUCGCCAUUUACUCUUCCAGUUAAACUAGUUCUCAUUUUGCAUAAUUGUUUUGAGUUUAUAAUUAAAUACUAGAUUCUUUAUCCAAGAUAUAAACCUUUGAGAAGACAUAUUUUUAUUCUUUUUAUAGCUCAUUGGUUGAACGAGUAAGAGGUAAUGAAGUUGUUGUAUUUUCCAUUUUUAUCAAAUUAAACUUUACGAAAUGCAAUUAUCAACGGCUUUGAUAUAUGAUUAGAAAUCAAUGAAAGGAUUAACAAGGUGAAAAGUAAUUAAAGAUGUUUUUUACAACAAUUAAAGAUGUUAAAUCACGCAUUGAAGAAACGAAAGUUGCAUCAUCCCAUCUCGCAAGCUUUAAUUACAUAUACAAAAGAAAACAAAGGAGUAAAAAGUAACAAAACCCCAUCCUAACCAGUACAGUAUUUCACUUAUACUCUAAAGAAGUUACACGCAACCCCCAAAAAAUAACCAAGAGAUCAAGAAACAAUUAAAAAGAGGUCAAACAUCUGAACAGUGUACAUGUCAAAUCAAACAUCAGAGACGAUCAAUGGUUUUCUACUCUUGUUUUGUGUAAGUUCAUGCAUUACAAUACAUUAUAUCAAGUACCCUAGAGAGAGAGAGAGAGGGAGAGAGAGAGAGAGUGAGUAAGCAUGAUCAUGGAGACAACAAGGCUUGUAAACCAAUGCCGUUGUGUUUUCGUGAAGGACCAGAAGCUGGAACAGGUAAGUGUCUUGGCAAGGUCCCAAAGAAAUGGUCUCUCCUCAUAGUGUUUUUGUUGUGAUCAUCAUUAGGGAUUAUGUAGAAAACGCUUGAUGGUGACAAGGCUCUCGAGGCGUCGCAGUGGAGAAUGAAGAAGAAGCAGAAGAACAGAAGAAGAAGAGCUUGUGGGUUUAUUGAUAACCUUUUCAUCCAAUAAUGUUGAUGUUUAGUAACCAUUUCAGUGAUUCAAAUCGAAUAAGAGAACGAGAUCACUAUGGUUAUUUUUGUUUGUUUCAGUUUUGGAGAAAUGGGGUUUGGUUGAGGAGUUUUGAUGGGAGAAAGAGAGCAACCCCUUUUGAAUAGGUCUCUCUUUGGCUGGAAGCCUGGAAGAAUAAUAAUGGCCAAUAAAACUAAAUAAAGGUAAGGGAAACUGAACAUUCAUUAUUGCAUUUUAUAUUUGAAUCACUGAACGAACUAUCACUUGUGUGAAUUUUAUUAUAUAUUAAUUAUUAAAUGUUUCUUUUCUGCGUGGAAAAUGUAUCCAUUUUAUACCAAAAUCGGGAGUAUAUUAUGAAAAAUCAUGAAUUUGGAAUUUAUUCUUUUUUAUAUAUCAUAUAUGUAGUGUCAGGUUGACCGGGGGACAUGAGAAGGAGACUGUUAGGAUAGUAGUUACCUUUUUACCAUGGCCCUUUUGAUUUCUGUAGAUGUCACUAUGAUACAUUUUUAUUAUUCUAUGUUGUUAAGGACUAAAUGAAAAUCUUUACCCACAUUCUCUGCUAAUAUAUUUGAUAACACAAUUAACACUUCUAAUAUCUCCACAAAAAGGUAAACAAUCUGCCUCCAUCCAGUACCUUUAAAACAGCUUAUUGACAAUAUACUCACCAAUUUCAAGCUAUUAUACCACACAACGGAAAAGUGAAUAUAAUGCAUUGAAAUAAAGGAUGGUUUGAAGAAUUAUAAUAUGUUAUGGUAAAAUGAAUGGUCAAUGAAGAAAGUAUUUGGGUCAGCAGGACCCCGAAAUAAAGGUUAAGAAGAUAGAAAAUGGGAAAAAAGUUCUUUUUCAUCCAAAUUAUUAUUGAUCAAGGUAAACUAUAAAUUUGUGAUACAUAACUCGGUUUUAACCCGAAAAAACAGCAAACACUUGAAAACUCAAAUUAAAUGGAAAAACUAUAAAAUGGGUAAUUUGGGGGUUUUAAUAUUUUUUUAUAAAAUUAUAAUUUUGAGAUUAAUAUUAUUUUAUAACUAAAAAAAUAAUAUAAUAAAAAUCAUUUUAGUUUAAUAAAAUAAAAAUCAUUUUGGUUUUCAUAAGUUUUGGUCCGAUUUUUGUUUCAAAGUUUUUUUUGUUUAGUUCCAGUUUUCAGGUUUCAGAUGAAUAUUGUUAAUGAGAAAUUUUGUUAUAGCAUUUAAUAACGUAUAUAGAUAUAUUUGUGUGUAAACUCAAAUAUAUGAUACAAAAAGCAUGAGUCUGAGCCAAUUUUUGUUGUAAGGAUUGCAUAUAGGCUGGCUGUAUCAAACCCCUUACAUAUUAGUUAUACCCUAGUCAUUACAUUCUAGAAUAGAUGACAUGAUUUAUAACUAAAUGUGAUAUGGACGAUUACAUUUAAGGGAAAAUUUUAUGUUUACCACUUUCAUAGUACCACUUUUCAUCUUUACCACCACUAAAGAGACAUUUUCAAAAAUACAUUCUUCAUUAAGUGGCAAAAAACUAUUAUACCCUUGAUAUAUAUAUAUAUAAUAAAUCAUUAUUUAAAUAAAUAAAAAUAAAAAUAAAUAAAAAAUAAAAAAAAUUAUGUUUUCGAAUUAUACUUUUUCAAAUUCGAACAUUUUUUUUUAAAAAAUAAAUUUUUAAUCACAAUAUUAUUAGCUUGUUUUAUAUAACUACAAAUUUUAAAAAUACCAUUUAGUUGUACUUUUCUUAAUUGUACAAAUUUUAUAUCAAUUUUUUAAUUAAUUUUAUACAAGUUGAUUUAAUAUAUUUUAUCCAAAAGAAAUAGGUUAAGAUUUAUCUAAGAUUAUAAUUUUAAAUAUAUACAUAUCUAUUUUAAAAUAUAAUUAAAAAUAAACAAUUUUUUUUAUUUUAUGUUCAAUUAAAUUAUAUUAAAUAUUGGAAAGAGAUAAUAAAUAUAAAAUAAUAAUAAUUUUUGUUUUUAAAUAUAAUUUAAAUUUAAUUUUUUUAUUAGUGUACAUGGUAUAGGAAAACAUCUAGUUCAUUUAGUUGGAGUCCAUAAUUUCCACUUCUUUAACCAAAUUUCAUGCUAAUUUGAUAUUAGAUUAUUUAUUACAAAUACGAGAUGAUUGAUCUGCUUUGACAAGAAAAUAAUGGAGAAAUUGCCAAAAAUACCACUUUCAUAAUACUAGUUUUCAUUUUUACACUAACCACUUUUAUCUUCACUUUUACAGAGGGAAAAAAACAUUUAUAACCUAGGGUUAGCUAAUCUAGACUUAGGGUUUAGUGUCGGUAUGGUAAGGUUUUUGGAAUGUGAAAUUUAGGAUUUUAAUAAAUAUAUAAAUAAAUACUUAAUUUUUUAAAAAAAAAUUAAAAAUAGUUUCAAAAAUAAUUAUCGAUUUUCAAAAAGAGAUUUUGACAGAAAAAAAUUCAAAAAAAAAUCAAAAAAGAAAAAGUUUAUAAAAAUAUUCGAAUUUGAAAAAUUAUCAUUCGAAAACAUAAUUUUUUGGUUUUUAUUUAUUUAAAUAAUUAUUUAUUUUAUAUAUAGAGAACAAUGAUAUAAGAGUUUUUUGCCUUUUAAUGAAGAAUGUAUUUUUAAAAAUGUCUCUUUAGUGAUGAUAUAUAUGAAUAAUGAUGAUAAAAAAGUGGUAAAGACGAAAAUUUUCUAAAAAUAUGAUUGCCAUGCUUUUUUAGUCAUCAACUAAGCCCAUUUAAAUGGGCUUAUAAAUACCCACUAGUGUUAUAUCACUUUUAUAAAGUUUGUUUUAUUUUGUUUUGAGGCAGUUUACUCAAAGUUCUUUUCGUGGACAGCAUGAGUUUCAAACAUCAAAUACUUACAAACGUAGAGAAUAUACUUCAUUAUCACUAAUGCAACGGGUAUACUGAUCGAUGGGUUUUUGGAGAUAAACAUGAAGUUAACUUGGAGACCAAGUUACACCAAUCCUAGUUGAGUAAAUAGGAUUAGGAAAGAUUCAAAUAUGUUAAACCUAAUAAGUUUAGAAAAAUUGUAAAUAUUAUAUAUAAGAAGAUACAAGAACGUUGUCCAACUUGUGAGUUUUAAAGAAUAUUGUGUUUGAGUGUUUGAGUUUUUGAGAAAGUUUUUUAAGGUAAUAAAGAAGAGUUUUCUUUCUAUUGAGAUCUUAUACAAUAUUUGAACUUAUAUGGGUCAUGCAAAAAAAGAGUAUCGAGAAAGUUUCGAGUCUGAACAUCGAUGAUGAAAAAUGCCCAAGUUAACAUGUUUUGUUUAACGCAAGCAAAUUGAGAAGCUGGAUCUUCUGAUUUUCUUUUAGUUUUUAAUAAAGAAUUGGAUAGGCCAAACAUAUAGAAUAAUAAUUUUGGUCACUUUUAUAAUUUCAAACGAACCGAAAAUGUUCACCUUUUUAAUGAUAUCCAGUAAAUACUUUUAUCCCACUACAUGCAUUAUAUUGGUAUAUAUACUAUACUAUAUAGCCACACGUUCACUGAAAGAAAAUGUAUAUAUGUACAUAUAUCCCACACGAGCAAAUACGCCCUCGUACGUUUGAAAUCCUUACAACAAUCCUUUCAAUUACAAAUUUUGCUUCUCUUGAUUAGAUAUAAGUGUGAUCAAAAGCUUUCCCGUUUGUUAAGGCACAAAAGGAUGAACUUUAUUCCAUGAUAUAAGCAAAAAAAACUUUUGAUGUGGAAUUAUAUGUAAUCGCACGCGAAUGAAAUAUCAUCAUACCUAGGUUACUUUACGGUUCCUCAUUUUACUCUUAUCAUCUUCCUUAAUUACCCGUAGCGUGUGAAUAUCUUCAUCAUUAGAGAUUUUAUUACCUUUAUUCCUACUUUUAAAGUUUAAAAUAUUAAAGUCUUACAAGUUACAACAUUAGCAAACUUAGUUUAACUUUUAUCCACACAGAUAUAGCAGUAUUAGCUAUGCCGAAUCUGAAUCAAAAAGAGAAGCUGGUCAGAUCUGAUGUUGACUUGGAAUGGGAUAAUGACACUGGAUAUAUAUGUUUUCUUUUGCAUGUGAUGCAAACUAGUUGCCUCUACCCCUGGCAACCUCUGAAUAAUAUGAAACACAACCCCACACUUUUGGAACUCGAUUCUUCUUCAUAUAUCUAUCUUGACCCAAUAUUUAUUUCGACCUAUUUGGACCAUCGGUUUAUGGAGAAUUCGUUUUGAAUACGUGUCAUGCAGAAUUUUCUUUUGCCAUUUAACCAGUAGCAAUAUAUUUAUGCUAUAUAUUUAUGCUAAGGUUAUAUUUAGUAUCAUCAUAUAAACUGCAAAUUCACGGAACACAUAUAUCGUAUCGAUCAUCAUUCAUCUAUAUUUGUACUCGAUGAGUUCUUCUAUACCAUGCGUGAAGUUUGAGAUAUACAAAUCUCAUAAGUCAUAACCUGCAAAAUACUGUGAAUACAAGUUCAUGGAGAUUUAUUUCAAAUACCACCGGUUUAGAUUUAUUGUGGAUAGAUUGUCCCAUUCAUAGAUACAUAAACCUACCCUUUACAAUGUAUUAGUAGACAACGUCCUAGAAGAGAAGUAAGAACGUAAUUAAUCUCGUUUUUUACCCAUUUCACAUUAGUAUUUUCUUCCAGCAUGCAAUUAUUUUUUUAUAAUGAGAAAUACAUGUUUCCGAUUAGAUAUAACACCAUUUGCAAAGAAAAAAAAGAUAGAAAAGUUGCUUGCAUAUGAGGACAAACGAAAAUUAUUGUCUACCAAGAACAAUAAUGGAUGAAUAAGAUGAUGAGUGGUGUUAUUGUGUUAUUUACUGUAUUAAAGUUAAGAUCAUUAUAAUCUGGCGCAGUUUUUCAGAUUUGCCAUAAUUACUUAUUGUAGACAAUCAUGCACGUUCGCAUCAUUAUAUUUUAACUCUCUUUCGGUGCAAUUUUACCCUACUAUACGCAAUUAGCAAAUUAUAUGCUCACGAGUUAAUGUAUCACUACAAGAAAACACAUAAAUAAAAACGACGGUUUUCGUAAUUAAUUCGUCGUAAAACAGGGGUUAGACGAAAUAACUACGAAACCCGUUUCGUCGUUAAUCGUUCGUCGUAAUGUAUAUUCCUUCGCUAAUUCGUCGUAAAAUGGUAUCAGUAGAUUCGUCGUAAAAGACACGUAAACACUUUCCUCGUAAAAUACACGUAAACAGUUUCCUCGUAAACUACACGUAAUAUAUUUCCUCGUAAAGUACACGUAAAAUAUUUUUUCGUAAAGUGCACGUAAACAUUUCCUCGUAAAGUGGACGCUAAAUUUCGUCGUUGUUUACACGUAAUGUUUACGACGAAUCUCCAUGUCUGUCGUAGUAAAUUCCUGGGUAAUAUUUAUUCAAUUUCUUCGUUAAGUUGACAUAAUUUAGCUACGAAUUUGCUUCGAUUCUUUAUUUUUUACAAAAAAAAAAUAAUGAAAUAAAGAUAUUUUUAAAUUAUUUCAAAAAUAUUAAAAACGUAAAUAAUAAAUCCAUACGAAAAUAUUUUAUAAAUAUUUAAAUUUCGAAUUUAAUAUAAUACAAUAAAAAGAUGAAAAAAACUAAGGGUUGUUGUUGUUGUUAUGCAUUUCCUCGAAGAGGUCUAGACUCCUCCGUUGUACUUCUUCCUCAUCUUUUUUUUAAAAAAAAAUUAAAAAUAGUUUCAAAAAUAAUUAUCGAUUUUCAAAAAGAGAUUUUGACAGAAAAAAAUUCAAAAAAAAAUCAAAAAAGAAAAAGUUUAUAAAAAUAUUCGAAUUUGAAAAAUUAUCAUUCGAAAACAUAAUUUUUUGGUUUUUAUUUAUUUAAAUAAUUAUUUAUUUUAUAUAUAGAGAACAAUGAUAUAAGAGUUUUUUGCCUUUUAAUGAAGAAUGUAUUUUUAAAAAUGUCUCUUUAGUGAUGAUAUAUAUGAAUAAUGAUGAUAAAAAAGUGGUAAAGACGAAAAUUUUCUAAAAAUAUGAUUGCCAUGCUUUUUUAGUCAUCAACUAAGCCCAUUUAAAUGGGCUUAUAAAUACCCACUAGUGUUAUAUCACUUUUAUAAAGUUUGUUUUAUUUUGUUUUGAGGCAGUUUACUCAAAGUUCUUUUCGUGGACAGCAUGAGUUUCAAACAUCAAAUACUUACAAACGUAGAGAAUAUACUUCAUUAUCACUAAUGCAACGGGUAUACUGAUCGAUGGGUUUUUGGAGAUAAACAUGAAGUUAACUUGGAGACCAAGUUACACCAAUCCUAGUUGAGUAAAUAGGAUUAGGAAAGAUUCAAAUAUGUUAAACCUAAUAAGUUUAGAAAAAUUGUAAAUAUUAUAUAUAAGAAGAUACAAGAACGUUGUCCAACUUGUGAGUUUUAAAGAAUAUUGUGUUUGAGUGUUUGAGUUUUUGAGAAAGUUUUUUAAGGUAAUAAAGAAGAGUUUUCUUUCUAUUGAGAUCUUAUACAAUAUUUGAACUUAUAUGGGUCAUGCAAAAAAAGAGUAUCGAGAAAGUUUCGAGUCUGAACAUCGAUGAUGAAAAAUGCCCAAGUUAACAUGUUUUGUUUAACGCAAGCAAAUUGAGAAGCUGGAUCUUCUGAUUUUCUUUUAGUUUUUAAUAAAGAAUUGGAUAGGCCAAACAUAUAGAAUAAUAAUUUUGGUCACUUUUAUAAUUUCAAACGAACCGAAAAUGUUCACCUUUUUAAUGAUAUCCAGUAAAUACUUUUAUCCCACUACAUGCAUUAUAUUGGUAUAUAUACUAUACUAUAUAGCCACACGUUCACUGAAAGAAAAUGUAUAUAUGUACAUAUAUCCCACACGAGCAAAUACGCCCUCGUACGUUUGAAAUCCUUACAACAAUCCUUUCAAUUACAAAUUUUGCUUCUCUUGAUUAGAUAUAAGUGUGAUCAAAAGCUUUCCCGUUUGUUAAGGCACAAAAGGAUGAACUUUAUUCCAUGAUAUAAGCAAAAAAAACUUUUGAUGUGGAAUUAUAUGUAAUCGCACGCGAAUGAAAUAUCAUCAUACCUAGGUUACUUUACGGUUCCUCAUUUUACUCUUAUCAUCUUCCUUAAUUACCCGUAGCGUGUGAAUAUCUUCAUCAUUAGAGAUUUUAUUACCUUUAUUCCUACUUUUAAAGUUUAAAAUAUUAAAGUCUUACAAGUUACAACAUUAGCAAACUUAGUUUAACUUUUAUCCACACAGAUAUAGCAGUAUUAGCUAUGCCGAAUCUGAAUCAAAAAGAGAAGCUGGUCAGAUCUGAUGUUGACUUGGAAUGGGAUAAUGACACUGGAUAUAUAUGUUUUCUUUUGCAUGUGAUGCAAACUAGUUGCCUCUACCCCUGGCAACCUCUGAAUAAUAUGAAACACAACCCCACACUUUUGGAACUAGAUUCUUCUUCAUAUAUCUAUCUUGACCCAAUAUUUAUUUCGACCUAUUUGGACCAUCGGUUUAUGGAGAACUCGUUUUGAAUACGUGUCAUGCAGAAUUUUCUUUUGCCAUUUAACCAGUAGCAAUAUAUUUAUGCUAUAUAUUUAUGCUAAGGUUAUAUUUAGUAUCAUCAUAUAAACUGCAAAUUCACGGAACACAUAUAUCGUAUCGAUCAUCAUUCAUCUAUAUUUGUACUCGAUGAGUUCUUCUAUACCAUGCGUGAAGUUUGAGAUAUACAAAUCUCAUAAGUCAUAACCUGCAAAAUACUGUGAAUACAAGUUCAUGGAGAUUUAUUUCAAAUACCACCGGUUUAGAUUUAUUGUGGAUAGAUUGUCCCAUUCAUAGAUACAUAAACCUACCCUUUACAAUGUAUUAGUAGACAACGUCCUAGAAGAGAAGUAAGAACGUAAUUAAUCUCGUUUUUUACCCAUUUCACAUUAGUAUUUUCUUCCAGCAUGCAAUUAUUUUUUUAUAAUGAGAAAUACAUGUUUCCGAUUAGAUAUAACACCAUUUGCAAAGAAAAAAAAGAUAGAAAAGUUGCUUGCAUAUGAGGACAAACGAAAAUUAUUGUCUACCAAGAACAAUAAUGGAUGAAUAAGAUGAUGAGUGGUGUUAUUGUGUUAUUUACUGUAUUAAAGUUAAGAUCAUUAUAAUCUGGCGCAGUUUUUCAGAUUUGCCAUAAUUACUUAUUGUAGACAAUCAUGCACGUUCGCAUCAUUAUAUUUUAACUCUCUUUCGGUGCAAUUUUACCCUACUAUACGCAAUUAGCAAAUUAUAUGCUCACGAGUUAAUGUAUCACUACAAGAAAACACAUAAAUAAAAACGACGGUUUUCGUAAUUAAUUCGUCGUAAAACAGGGGUUAGACGAAAUAACUACGAAACCCGUUUCGUCGUUAAUCGUUCGUCGUAAUGUAUAUUCCUUCGCUAAUUCGUCGUAAAAUGGUAUCAGUAGAUUCGUCGUAAAAGACACGUAAACACUUUCCUCGUAAAAUACACGUAAACAGUUUCCUCGUAAACUACACGUAAUAUAUUUCCUCGUAAAGUACACGUAAAAUAUUUUUUCGUAAAGUGCACGUAAACAUUUCCUCGUAAAGUGGACGCUAAAUUUCGUCGUUGUUUACACGUAAUGUUUACGACGAAUCUCCAUGUCUGUCGUAGUAAAUUCCUGGGUAAUAUUUAUUCAAUUUCUUCGUUAAGUUGACAUAAUUUAGCUACGAAUUUGCUUCGAUUCUUUAUUUUUUACAAAAAAAAAAUAAUGAAAUAAAGAUAUUUUUAAAUUAUUUCAAAAAUAUUAAAAACGUAAAUAAUAAAUCCAUACGAAAAUAUUUUAUAAAUAUUUAAAUUUCGAAUUUAAUAUAAUACAAUAAAAAGAUGAAAAAGACUAAGGGUUGUUGUUGUUGUUAUGCAUUUCCUCGAAGAGGUCUAGACUCCUCCGUUGUACUUCUUCCUCAUCUUCUUGUGUGCCUGGAACGGGAUUAUUAAUUAACAUUUAAAAAUCAUCUUCCUAUAUUAUCAACAAAUAUAAACCUAUCUACAAACUAUCCCCUACACUAACCACCUAAUCAACACUAAUUUCCCUAAACUAACCACCUAAGCUAAAUUAGAUAGGAAGUAGAGAGGAAUACCUUGCUAGGAGAAGGAGAGGAAAUUACUACGAAAUGAGAAAGUGAUUCGGUUCGAGUAUAUAUACAUACUUACAUUUCUUCUUAAAGUCCUCAUAACUUUACGAAAUAUUAGCAAGGACCGCGUUUUAUUUUACGACGAAUUAGCAAGGCCCGUGUUUUUGCUUACGACAAUUUUACGAUGAAAAGUUUUUAUUUUCUAAUUUUCUUCGUAAAGCCCACGUAAAUUUACGAGGAAUUAGCAAGCCCCGUGUUUUUUUUACGACGAAUUAGCAAGGCCCUUGUUUUAAUUUACGACGAUUUUACGACGAAAAAUGUUUCAAUUUACAAAAAAAAACCUGAAGGAAGGCACCGGCACCAAAAUAGUCUUAUCAAUCCCAAAUAGCAUUUGAAACUGAUCAGAACUGUCCUAGUGACAGUGCACGCCCUUCAGGUUUAUUCAAACUAUUGUUUAGUUUUUUUUUAUGCAAGUUUAGAAUGGGAGGGAUGUGCUUAUUUAUAGAAGUAGUUGUACUCAUAAAGUCCUUGUAAAUUAACGAGGAAAUAACAAGGCCCGUGUUUUUGUUGCGAGGAAAUAACAAGUCUCGUGUUUUUGUUGCGAGGAAAUAACAAGGCUCGUAUUUUCAAUUUCUUCGUAAAAUCGUCGUAAUAUUACGAGGAAAUAACAAGGCCAGUGUUUUUUUUACGACGAAUUAGCAAGGCCCGUGUUUUAAUUUACGACGAUUUUACGAUGAAAAGUGUUUCAAUUUCAAAAAACAAAACUGAAGAAAGACACAAGCACUAGAACAGUACUUAUCAAUUCCAACUAGCAUUGAAACUGAUCAGAAAUGUUCUAGUGACCGUGCACUGCCUUCAGGUUUUUUAAAACUAUGGAUUAGUUUUUUUUGGUGCAAGUUCAGAAUGGGAGGGAUGUGCUUAUUUAUAGAAGUAGUUGUAGUCGUAAAAUCCUCAUUAUUUAACAAGGAAAUAACAAGGCCCAUGUUUUCAUUUUCUUCGUAAAAUCGUCGUAAAUUUACGAGGAAAUAACAAGGCCCGUGUUUUCAUUUUCGUCGUAAAAUCGUCGUAAAUUAACGAGGAAAUAACAAGGCCCGUGUUUUUUUUACGAGGAUUUUACGAGGAAGGUAUGCAAAUCCCUAUCACCCGAAACCCCAAAACCCAAACCCCAAAUUCCUUAACUUCAUCUAACACUCAAUCUCUUCUUUUUAAACUCCAAACCCCCAAUUGAGUUACACAAAAUCAAAUUAUAUAAUUUAAUUUUCAUGAUUAAACAAACUAAAUACAUGCAUUAAUUCUAAAAAUAAAUCAUAUUUAAGAAAAUUACAUCAUCAUUCGGAUAUAUCAUUGACAUUCUCGUCAUCACUAGAAACAUCAUCAUUUUCAUUAAACUCGUCUUCAACAGCUUCGUCCGUCGUAUCGUCGGGAAGAUCUUCGUACUCACGAUUAUGCGGAUCAAUAAGAAAGAUGUCAUCAGUUUGUUGUUCAGGUUCCUCGACUUCAUUGAUGUGUUCUUCUUGCAAUGGUUGUUCUUCUCCACAGAUUAUUCGUCCACGAGGUGUAACUUUGACAACGACAAACCAAUUGAUUCCUGAUUCUUUCAUCCGAGGGUAUAGAAGGAAGCUGACUUGGUCUGCUUGCGAAGCUAAUAUGAAAGACUCGAAUUUGUUGUACUUUCGUCCACCAUUGACAUCAACUACACCAAAUUUGUUAAAUCGAACACCUCGGUUGACGACGGGGCCGAACCAGUUACAUUUGAAGAGGAUACAUUUCAGCUUCAAUAACCCUGAGAAUUCCACUUCAAUAAUCUCAUGCAAGAUCCCGUAGAAAUCUGUUUCGCCUUUCACACAUAUUCCAUAAUUACUUGUCGCCCGAAGUCUACCAUACUCAUAUGUAUGAAAAGUACAGCCUCGUGUGAAAUACAUCGGUGAUGUGGUGACCUUUGCAACUGGACCUUGAAUUAAUUCAUGAAACCAUGUGGGGUAAUCUGGAUCGUUAUAAUCAACCUGCAAAAAUAAAGAGAACGUUAAAAUUAAUUAAUCAUAAAUUUCGACGCGGAAUAGACGUAAAAUAUUUCGUCGUAAAUUCCUCGUUAUAUUUAUGUCUACUUUACGAUGAAAUCUUGUUUCCUCGUAAAAACCACGUUAAAUUGCGUCGUUUUUACGAUGAAACUUUAUUAUCGUUAUUUUACGACGAAAUUACGUUGAUUUGUUUUUUCUUCGUAAGGUUCUCGUAAAUAAGACGUACAUUUACGAGGACUUAUUUUCCUCGUUACAUUUCGUCGUUAAUUUUGUGUUUUCUUGUAGUGUAUUCAUUCAUUCGCCUGCCAUAAUGAGGACUAUAAAAAUACUCUAUCUGUUCCAUAAUAUAAGAAGUUUUACUUGAAUGCACAAGGAUUAAAAAACUUACCUUUUAGGAGAUAAAAUUAUUAAAUAACACUCUCUCUGUUCUUGAAAUUAAAAUUUUCUAAAGUACGUUUAUUAAGAAUUCAAUAAAUGUUUAUAAUUUACUUUUUCUUUUACUUUAUUAUACAUUUUCCAAUAACUUUUGGGCAAAUCUCCAAAAUAGCACCUUUCUAAGUUUAUAUCACAAAAAUAGCACUCAAAAACUAAAAUGACCAAAAUAGCACCUUUCUAAGUUUAUCCUUUGAAAAUUUUAAUUUUUUAAUUUUUCAAAAUUUGAAAUCUUAUCCCCAAAACCUCAUUUCUCAACUCUAAACCCUAAACCCUAAACUCUAAACCCUAAACCGUAAACCCUAAACCCUAAGCUCUAAACCCUAAACUUUAAACCCUAAACCCUAAAAUUUAAACCCUAAACCCUAAACUCUAAACCCUAAAUCCUAAAUCCUAAACCCCACCAUUUAACUCUAAACCCUAAGUUUGUGACUUUUGAUAAAACAUUAAGUGCUAUUUUUGUGACUUUUGACCUUGAGUGUUAGUUUGGGAACAAAAACUUGAUUUAGUGCUAUUUUUGUCUUUUUCUCAUAACUUUUCACCAAUGAAAUUUAAUCAAUUCAAAUAUUUUCAUUUAACGUUUCUUAAAAUUAUAAAAAGUACCUUAAACAUAUAAAAAAAUCUAUCUUUGUGGAAAAAGUAAAAAACCUAAAACAUCUUACUUUCGGGAACGGAAAGAGUAUAAAUUAACAUAAAUUAACCAAUCAUAAAUAAUGCAGUAAAAUGUUAUUGGUUAACCAAUUUUCUAUAAAGUUAAAGCACCUUGAAAAUAUCAAAACAUCUUAUAUUUUGAAACAUCUAAACUUUUCCAAAGCAUUUGCGGAAGGGACGGAGUAUAUAAUUUGAAAAGAAAAUUAAAGUGUUCGUUUAAUUAAUGCUAUAUAGUUACCAUUCAUUGCAGUUUGAAUUUUGAACAAGGACGUGCUGUAUCUUCAAAAAUAAUGUAUCUGAGUUUUAUUAAAAGAUUGCUCAUAUCUUACGCUCGUUUCAACGGCUAUUACCAUGAUUGUAUACAUACCUGAUUAAUUAUGCUAAACCUAAUCGAAACUUGACCUAAUUAGGCCAGCAACUUUCGGCCACCUCUGCUUAUACCAUCCACGGAUAUUUAGUCUUUUUUAUGUUUCCAAAAUUAAAGUUUGUAAAAAUCAAUGAUAGAAAACUAGAUAAGCAUCCAGUUAAUUUAUCCAUGAAGAAAAAAUAAUGGAGAGGUGAUAAACCAAUUUUCACUUUAAAGAAAACAAGAGCAAGUAUGAACCACUUAUAAGUGAACGAAAAAACUGAAACAUAACAAACGAACUAAAAUAUAUUAGCAUUAGUCGAACUUAUGUAUUAAAUACGAAGCAUCCACACACUAAACAUAUGUAAUGGCACAACCGUACGUGAGCAAACAAAGCAAUAAUUAACAAAAGGACCAAACUCUCAAAUCCUUUAAAUUUGAUAUAUAUAUAUAUUCAAAUAUUCAAUGCAACCCUAAGAGCACGUUCAACCAUAGAACCCCUAAUGGGUUCUUAAUUCAUUUUAAAGUAAUAAAUUUAGCUUAAUAACCAUUGCUAAGAAUCUCUUUGUUUAAACUGCUCUAAUGGUAGAUUCUUAAUUAGAGGUUAUUAAAAAAAAAUAAUACUAAAGAUAAAUUUAAUUUUAGUAAAAAUUUAUUUAUUAAAUAAAAUAUAUUACAAGAAAUCAUUUUAAACAUAGAUUUAAAAAAAAAUUACAGCAAAAAUUACUAAAAUAAACAAAAAUAAUUUGAAAAAAGCACAUAAUAAAUCAGUUGUUGUCCUCGUCACGUCCGAAUUUACACCAUAUAUGUUCAACCAAAUCAGCUUUCAGUUGGUGAUGCAUCUGUCUAUCACGAAUUCUAGUUCGAACACCCAUCAUAUUGGCGAUAUUUGUAGGGGUAUCUGUAGAAUACGUGAGAUCAACAUGUGAACUCACGUUGUGUUCUUGUUGGAACUCUGAAACAUCAUAUUGAGUGUAGCCAUCUCGUUCGUCUUCUACUAUCAUAUUAUGGAGUAUGAUACAUGCUCUCAUAAUCUUUCCAAUUUUGACUUUAUCCCAAAAAAGAGCUGGAUUCUUAACAAUGGCAAAGCGAGCUUGUAAGACUCCAAAUGCACGCUCGACAUCUUUCCGGGCAGCUUCUUGAUGUUGAGCAAAUAAAACUGCUUUCGGUCUUUGUGGUAUUGGAAUAGAUUGGAUAAAAGUUGCCCAUUUUGGAUAAAUACCAUCGGUGAGAUAGUAAGCCAAAUGAUACUCUCUUCCAUUGACAGAGUAAGUGACUUGCGGAGCAUGACCUUUUAUUAUGUCAUCGAAAACAGGUGAGCGAUCUAGAACAUUGAUAUCAUUUAAGGUACCUGGAGGUCCAAAAAACGCAUGCCAUAUCCAUAGAUCAUACGAAGCAACUGCCUCUAAAACAAUCGUGGGUUUUCCCGAACCACGUGAAUAUUGACCUUUCCAAGCGGUAGGACAAUUCUUCCACUCCCAGUGCAUACAAUCAAUGCUUCCUAUCAUUCCGGGAAAUCCGCGAUGCUCUCCGAUAUAAAGUAGGCGUUGAAGAUCAGCCGGUGUUGGUUUUCUUAGGUACUCAUCGCUGAAAUUUUUUAUUAUUCCUUCGACAAACUGUUCCAAACAUGACCGAGUAGUAGUUGCACCGAGCCGAAGGUAUUCGUCAACCGCAUCAGCCGCAUGACCAUAUGCCAAGACUCGAAUAGCUGCGGUACAUUUUUGAAGUGUAGAGAGACCAAGCCUUCCGAGACCAUCUGGUUUUUGUUGAAAGAAUUCCAUUUCAUUGGAGAGUCGAUCAACAAUUUUCAUGAACAACAGCUUGUUCAUUCUAAAUCGUCGGCGGAAUAUAUUAUCGGGAUAUGUUGGUGUGUCACUGAAAUAAUCAUUCCACAGCUGGAGAUUGCCUGCUUCACGGUUUCUUUCGAUAUAAGCUCUUUUUUU